Molecule: long non-coding RNA, 86200 nt
Filed under: Citrus sinensis (sweet orange)
Lineage: Eukaryota; Viridiplantae; Streptophyta; Magnoliopsida; Sapindales; Rutaceae
Description: long non-coding RNA (CSIN_LNC003919)
Rfam family: Plant small nucleolar RNA R71 (bases 77387-77490)
Source: RNAcentral
UAAUCAAAAACCUUCAUCAAUGAUUGUGAUUUUUUUAUUAAAACCUUUUAUAUGGAACAAAUUGUACAAUUUUUGCUCCAUAGUUUCAGAACCAACUCUACAAGUCGUAUAUGCACAACCUUCAUCAAUAAACUUCGUAAAAGGUUUUAAUCAAAAAUCACAACCAUUUCCUAUCAAACAACAUUGUUCUUUUCCAUUAUAUUUUAAAUUAAUUUACUUAUAUAAUUUCUAAAUGGAAUAAGUAAAAGUUUAUACAGACACACAAAGCGAAAAAAAAAACUUGAUAUGAAGCCAAAAAAAAAAACAUUGAUAUGAAUCUGAUCAUUUCAUCAUGGAGCAUACGUAAAUAAAUAAUGAUGCAAUUGAAGAAGAUUGAGAAAAAGGGGAUCUUCGUCACAGCCACUAAUUGAAGAAGGACAAGUGCUUCUAGGUAAUUAAAAUGAGCUAGUUUACAGUUACAAAUAGAUUAUGUAAGUUAUAUAAAUUAAUUUUUAUGGCUUUAAUUAUUCCAUUUACAGUCAUUUAUAGGAGAGAGAAAAGAGAAAGUCUUAAAUAAAAGAAGAAAGAGAACUAAACAUUAAAGAGAGGAGAGAGAAGGAUAUUAAUGAAAUUAAUAACUCAUGUAAUCUAAUCCUGACCCUUCAUUUCAAUCUAAUCCAUUGGUUGAAAAAUUGUGUUAAACUUGUGUCUACAAAUGUGUCUCUUGAACCUACCCCAAAAAUUUUAUGCUAUAAGACAUCUUAAAAAAAAAAAAAAAACAACUAAUAUGCACUUAUGUAAAAUAAAUAUAUGAUUUUUGAACAAUUAAAAAGGCGUGUUCAUCAAUAAUCAUCACAAUACAUGCAAAAUCAAGAUAAUCAAACUUUAAUCAAUUAAAUCAAUAGAAGAUUAGUUAAAUUUUAAACUUUUGUAUGUGUGUGCUUGAUAUAAAUCCAUCAUGACUCAAUCUCGAUUUUUCUCAAAAUCAACAAUUUUUGUAUUGAAAAAUAGAAUAAACAAGUCAAACUAACCUUAUCAUCUUAAUCUUUGAAUUGGCUUUUUCAAUGUAACAGGCAGUGUAAUAAGAGAUUGCAGUAAUAAAAUUUUUCAUUCUACUGUAUAUAUUAUUUUUUUAAAUGCUUACAGUUAACAACUUUCACCUUACCUCUUAAGGUAGCCUUUUUCUGAUGGUAGUUCGUUCUUUGUCGUAUUUCGAGUACGCAGACUCAAAUUACUCAAGGAUAGCUUCACUCUUAAAAGUUACAGGUAGCUAUUUCUAAUUGAGGCGCCUACAUAUCUUGAUAUCUACAGUUGAGAUAAGAGUUAAAAGCAAAAAGUCAAUGUUCAAUCCAUUAAUCUCAACAUCAGAAGUCUCAAAAUUAAAAAUCAAGUACUUCCAUGAUAUAUGUGAAUAAGUUUAAAUUAAACCAAUCAAAAAUUGUUUCAAUCUUUCAAGUCAUCAAAACAAGACUUUUAUGCGCAUAGUGAUUCAAAUUGAGAACAUGUCAUGCAAAAACACAUGCGAAUGAUGUAUUAAUCAUGUCAUGAGAUGCAAAAAAAUAAUGAUACAUAUAUAAAAUGUUAGAACAUGGCUACAUAGAACAAAUACCUAAAACUUUUCUUAAGGAAUCAAGUCUACAUGCAUCCAAAGCUUUAAUAAAGAUAUCCACAAGCUAAUUUUUUGUUUUAAUCUACUCCUGAAAUAUAGUCUUGUUUUCAACUAAACCACGAACAAAAUGAUGUCCGAUAUUUAUAUGCUUAGUUCUAGAAUGUUGAUGAUUCUUUGAAAUAUUGAUUGCACUUGUAUUAUCAUAAUAUACAGUAAGAAUAUCUUGGGCGAAACCAUAAUCUUCGAGCAUUUGCUUCAACCAAAGUAAUUGAGUACAACACUACCAAUGGCAACAUAUUCUGCCUUAGCAGUAGAUAAAGAAAUUGAGUGUUGUUUCUUAGAGCAUCACCAAAAGACUCUUUAAAUAAGAUUUUAUUAAUUAUUUGAAGAGCCACAUCAGCAUUUAAGGCUCCAAAAGACACUCCAAUUAAGAUUCUUCAAAUAAGAAAUGAUCAUCUCUCUUCAAAUUUGAUGAGUUGUUUUCUCCCUCUUCAAUUUAUAUUUUAUUACUUUUUGUUGGAGAAAGAGAGAGAAGUACUUUAAUUACUAUUGACUUUUCCUUUAAAAAAUAGUUAUUUUAAUUAAAAUAAUAUUAACUCAUUUCUAUUUCAAGAGUCUUUUGGAGAAUAACAUAAUUUUUCAUUCUUCUAUUUGCCACAUAGGUAAGCAAAUAGAUAUUUGAAGAGUAAAAUUUAUAAAACCUUUUGGAGAUGCUCUUACUAUGCCAAGAUACAAAAUGGUUACCAAGAUAAAAACAACCUCCAAUGGUACUCUUUCUAUCAUCAGAAUUACCUACAUAAUCAGCAUCGCUAUAUCUUGCAAGACUUGAAUUUGUGUCUUUAGUACACCAAAUUCCAUCAUUAAUAGUUUCAUUUACAAAAUGAAUGAUAUGUUUCGAUGCAGAUAAAUGAGAUACUUUUAGAUUUGCUUGGUACGUAGCAGAAACACCAACACUAAAACAAAUAUCUGGCCUACAUCUAGUUAAAUAAAGUAAGCUACCAAUCAUGCUUAUGUAUAGACUUGUAUCAACAUUAGAGUCACUAUCAUCUUUAGUUAAUCUUAAAAGUGCUCAUAGGCAUUCUCAUAUAUUUGGCUGAAUCUAGUUCAAAGUUUUUUGCCAAAUUUUUGGCAUAUUUUCUUUGAGAAAUGAAGAUACCAUUUUCAAGUGGUUUCCCUUGUAAGCUGAAAAAAUAGGAUAACAUACUAACCAUGCUCAUUUCAAAUUCAUUAUUCUUUGGAUCAAAAUAUUCCCGAACUUCUAUAAGAGAUAUAUCAUCCAUAUAAAUUUGAGCAAUCAUACUUCCAAGGUUAAGGUAUUUAAUAAAUAAAUUUUUGUCUACUCCCUUUCUUUUGUAGCCUUUUCCAAUCAAGGAUUUGUUUAAUCUUUCAUACCAAGCCUUAAGAGCUUUUUUUAAUCCAUAUAAAACUUUUUUUAACUUAAAAACAUAAUCAGAAUGAUGUGGGUCUUCAAAGCCUUUAAGUUGUUUAACUUAAGCUUCUUCAUUCAAAAUUCCAUUCAAGAUUGAUUUUCUUAAUUUCCAUUUGAAACAAUUUAAAGCCAAUUAAACAAGAUAAUAGCAAUUAAUAGCCUAAUAGAUUCUAGUCUAGCCAUAGGAGUAAAGGUUUCAUCAAAAUCAACACCUUCAAUUUUUGUAUAACUUAGUACUACUAACCUAACUUCAUUUCUCACUAUAUUACCAAUUUCAUUUGUUUUAUUCUCGUAAAUCCAUUUGGUGCCAAUAACAAUUAGUGUCCAAACAUCAUUACACUCAUAUUGUUGAAGUUCUUCUUGCAUAGCUUUAACCCAAAAUUCAUCCAAUGAGGUUCCUUAGCAUUUUUUGGUUAUUUAAUGAGGUAAAACAAUUCUUGUUAUUUCUAGAAUUUCCUCGAGUCAAAUUUUAAACCAUCUUGGCAAUCUUAGCCAUGGAUUCGUCUUUAACUUCAUUUUCAGCGUCAUCGGCAUCAUUAUCAUCAUCAAUUUUUGAAUUUGGUAUCUCAGCUUGAAAAGCAAUACUUUUUUCUUUCUUCUUCUUCAAAUGAUUAGUCUUAAAAGUUUCAAGUUUGUUAAUCACUUGAUUUCUUAUCUGCCAAUAUUUCUUCAAUAGCUAUAACUUCCAUAAGAAAUCUAUCCGACAAAAACCUCAAAAGUUUUCUAACUAAUUCUUAUUUAGAAAUUCAUUUACUAAGAGACUAAGAAGUGUUAUCAAUCUUAAGAAGUUUAUCAUUAAAAUCGGUAAUCUUCAUGUUCAUGCAUCUUAAGAUUCUCAAAUUCAAUUGUAAGUUUUUAAAGUUUGGAAUGUUUUACCAUAUUGUUUCCUUCAUGAUUGUGUCAAAGAAUGUCCUAAGCAUCUUUGGCAGUUGUACAUGUAGAGAGUAAAUUAUACUAAUUGAUGUUAACUGCAUUAGCAAUAACAUUGAGAGACUUGGAAUUAAAGCCAUAUUUUGAAUUUCUGCGUUGGAAUAUUCAUCCACAGGCUUAAGAAUUCUAUUUCCAUCUUGAUUAGCCUUAGUGGGUAAAUUGUAUCCUUUUCUUACGCAUUUCAUAGCUCUUAUGUUAAUGGAUUCAAUAAAAAUAGCUCUUAUGUAACAGUAGUAUAAUCCGUAGAUCCUUUUUCUCUCUGCAAAUUCAUUCCUACAAAAAUAGAUCAAGAUCCCAAAAUCUCACCGAAUAAACCAUUAGUGACACUAUUCUAAUACUAAUUGUUAAAAAUUUAGAUCUAUUUUUAACAAUUGUAGGCAAAAUAAGCAAUAGAUAAACUAAUUUCUUCAAUUAAUUACUGUUCACGAUUAUUGUUCACACGAUACUGUUUAGAAUUAGUGUUCAUCAUAUAGCACUAUUCAUGUUACAAUUUAUCAUAAUAAAUAUACUAAAAAUAGUAAAUUGAAGAGAGUAAAGCACACAAAGGUGUUUUACGUGAUUUAGAUCACUAUCCUAUAUUCAUGUGGAGAUUAGAACCUAUUGGAUUCUUACACAAUUUCAUGCACCCUUUUACGCUUGUCGCCACCUCUUUGUAUCUAACUUAGUUGACCUUGCUUAGUGAGAACCCCUCGUCUUCAAUUGCACUUGCUGCUUUCCUUGAGAUCCCCUCAACACAACAAAUGACAUCUUUGUCUAGAAGGGAUCAAAGUAAAUAUAAAAAAUGUCUAAUGAAAGACUUGAUAUGAUGAAGACUAAAACAUCAUAGAGAUAUGAAACAUCAUAUGCAGCCAAAUAGGCUCCUUCUCAUUCUCUGUAUUGGUUGUUUCUUGAUAUAAAAUAUCUUAUGUCUUCUUCAGAACUUCAAUAUGUGAAAUACUUCUCUUUAUAUAGGAGUAAUAUUUCACUCAAACCCUAGCAGAGAAAUAUUAAGAUAUACUUCCUUAAUGCUCCAAUAUUCCAUAAAUACUUUAUACUAUAAUAUAUUUCGUUAAGAGUCCAAUAUUUCAUAAAUACUUGAUAUAUUUAAAAAUAUAGCAGUCAUCUUUAUUUUUGGAGCUCUUUGAUAUGAGAUCUCUUACACACCAAUUUGGUUUUUUAUGCGUCGAAAUAUAUUCUCCAAUAUUCCACAUAAUCUAAUUUUAAUUAAUUUCCAAGAGUAGAUAAAUUUCUAAUUAAAGGAAACAAUCUUAAUAAAAGAAAUAAAUUAAUUAAAAUAAUAUUGACACAGUGAUGCCAAUAAUAAAUGCCUUAACAAAAAAUACAUACAUAAAUGUAAUAAAUAAACAAAUAAGAAAGUGUAGAAAGACUUACAAUGGGAAGCCGGCAAUUUGAAUCUUUGUGGUAAUGAUUUGUCGGGCCAUGCAGUUUGGCCUUGGCCAUGGAAUGUUCCACCGUCGGUGAGAGUUAAGCAUCUAAGGGAUUCAAAGGUGAUCUGGAUUUCCUUAUUGGCUAGCUUUUAAAGAUCAAGGGGAGCAACGAUGAGGCCUUGAAGUUGAAAUGAAAUUGGAGCUUUGCAUUGACCUUUAAAUACAACAUUAAUCACUAAAUAUUUUCCUGGUGGCGCCAAUAUCGUGCUAUUGGUAUUCCAAUUGCAAGCUUCUCUCUAAGCAUUUUCAAAAGCCUUAACUGUUAUUAUUAGUGCCAUCGGCCACAACACCAAAGUCAAUUACAUUGAAAACUCCAUUUGGGAGCUGCAGCCAAACCAAACAAAACUAGUAUUGCAAGCACUAGCAGCUGACAGCAAGAGCCAUAACCCAUCUUGUUUUUUAUGAUGGAUUAAGUGAUGAUGUUCUUGUUGAAAAAAUAGCAUAUCAAUAUGCUAUUUUGAGGGCACAUUUUGAGUAGGUCCCACUUAGCGAAAGUGGAAAAUCUUGUGAAGUUCGGGUUCUACUCCGUGAAUACUUCGAAAGUGUAUAUUUAUUUACUCAAAAUAGUGCUUGGGUGAAUGAAAAAUUGUCUCUCAAAGUGCACCCUUGAAGUUGAAAAUUUAAAAGGAAAUGAGGUUUGUCCCACAAGGGAAAAAUAAGCCAAGGGAUUUGUGUUUAUAUAUAGACAUUUACCUAUGCAUGACCAAGAAUUAUAAGGAUAGAAGCUCUCUCCACACGCGCGUGCGCAGGGGGUGUGAAUCCAAGACCGAUUUGAUUGAACUCGUGUGCGCCCGCACAUCUUGCGUACGCGAAUGUCAGCCCAAAAUCACCCAAGCUUGCAUGGCACGUUUUCAAUAGGCUGUAUUGAAUUGUUUAAAUUAAAUUGGCUGUUACAACAAUUAAAUGGCAUAUAUUGAAUUCAGAAAUUCAAUAUUAUUCUACUGUUACAUCCUCACAUAUGUAUAAAAAGGCAUCUUCCUCUUCUGUUUUUACACACAAGAACAACCAACACACAGAGCACACCAAAAUUUCUUCCUCCUUCUGACGUUCUAUUUUUGAUCGAGUUUGUACGUUGUUGUGGUUCGCCAAAAUUAUCAGUAUGUGCUUGACGGAUAAUUCGUACCUGUUGUAUCCUGGGAAACAGUUACCAGAAAACCUAAAGCACUACAGUAGGUGGUAAAUCUAUUUUAAGGAAACUGUAUUGCAGGCCUCGAGUUUAUUUUCUGUUUCCGUUUUCUUUUCCCUACUUUUUUCAUUUGUUCAUUCGUGAUUUCCAGUUCUUGUUUUACGUUGUUGUUUAAAUUAGCUACAGUAUCAAAGUGUUAUCUCACUGUUAAUUUUGUUACAAUCUUAAAACAGAUUUAACGUUGAGAUGGCAAUUGAACUAAUGAUGCAGUUCCGACUAUCCCUGUUUCAGCUUCUGCUGCUGGACCAUCUGUUGUGAAGGAACCAGCCUCUAUGGCAAUUCCUGUGAAUCAUGCAAAAAGACUAGAAAAAUUCAAUGGCCAGAAUUUCAAAUGUUGGCAGCAAAAGAUGUUCUUUUACCUGACCACGUUGAACCCUGCGAGGUUCUUGACGGAGGAUGCCCCUAAACCCAAAGAGGGUGAAACAAAUGUUCAAGUUGCAAGUGCAAUUGAUGCAUGGCAUCAUUCUGAUUUUUUAUAUAAAAAUUAUGUAAUGAAUGGCCUUAGUGAUUCCUUCUAUAAUGUAUACAUAGGAAAAAGAACAGCUAAGGAGCUAUGGGAAUCCUUAGACCGUAAAUAUAAAACUGAGGAUGCGGGUACCAAAAAGUUUAUUGUUGGCUGUUUCCUAGACUAUAAAUGGUGGAUUCCAAAAUUGUAAUGAGCCAAGUACAAGAGCUUCAGAUAAUAUUAUCUGAAAUCCUUGCUGAAGGGAUGAUGCUAAGCGAAACAUUUCAAGUGGCUGCAAUUAUUGAAAAAUUGCCUCAUGCUUCGAAAGAUUUCAAGAGUUAUUUGAAGUAUAAAUGCAAGGAAAUGAAUAUUGAAGGGUUGUUUCUGUGGCCAAGGAAAACGUUGUUGAACAUGGACCUAAAAAUAAGAAAAAUAAAAAAUCGGGUCCGAAAGGAGGAAUUUCCAAUAAGCAAACAAAGUUUCAAGGAAAAUGUUUUAAUUAUGAUAAGAUAGGUACAAGGCUUCGGAUUGCAGGUCGCCUAAAAAGAAGCGAGAUGCAAAUGUGGUGGAAAACAUCACUCAACAUGUUUCAGACAUAAAUCUCUCUGCAGUGGUUUCAGAAGUGAAUCUUGUUGGCUCUAAUCCGAGAGAAUGGUGGAUUGAUCUGGGAGCAACGAGACAUGUUUGCUCGGACAGAGGGUUGUUCACUUCAAUUGAAGUAGUUAGCAAUGGAGAGAAGUUAUUCAUGGGAAAUUCUGCCACAUCUGAGAUUGAAGGUCAAGGGAAGGUGAUUCUGAAGAUGACUUUUGGAAAAGAGCUGACUCUGAACGAUGUGCUUUAUGUGCCAGAAAUACAGAAGAACUUGGUGUCUGGAUCGCUGUUGAACAAACAUGGUUUCCGAAUGGUGUUUGAGUCAGAUAGGGUAGUUUUUUCAAAGAAUGAGAUGUAUGUGGGAAAGGGUUAUGUUAAUGAUGGGCUAUUUAAGCUCAAUGUAAUGACUCUGAAACCAAAAAUUAAUAAUGAAGCUAGUUCUUCUGCUUAUUUGCUUGAGUCUUCUAAUUUUUGGCAUGGUAGAUUAGGACAUGUUAAUUUUAAUUCAUUGCGUAAGUUAAUUAACAUGAAGCAUAUUCCCAAUUUCCAAAUUGAUUUGAAACAUGUGUGAAACUUGCGUUGAGGCAAAACUAACUAGGUCAUCUUUCCAAACAAUUAAAAGAAACAAUGAGCCACUUGAUUUAAUACAUAGUGAUAUUUGUGAUUUUAAAUCCAUUCAAACAAGAGAUGGUAAUAAAUAUUUUAUUACCUUUAUUGAUGAUUGCACAAAAUAUUGUUAUGUAUAUUUAUUGAAAAGUAAAGAUGAAGCUUUAGAAAAGCUUAUUCUCUACAAAAAUGAAGUUGAGAAUCAACUUAAUAGAAAAAUCAAAGAAUUAAGGAGUGACCGCGGUGGUGAGUAUGUUGUUCCGUUUGAGUCACUAUGUGAACAAAGUGGAAUCAUACAUCAAGUCACGACUCCAUAUUCACCUCAAUCUAAUGGGAUUGCAGAAUGAAAGAAUCGAACUUUGAAAGAAAUGAUAAAUGUAAUAUUGAUAAGUUCUGGGUUACCCCAGAAUAUGUGGGAAGAAGCUAUUUUGUCAGCUAAUUAUUUAUUAAAUAAGAUACCCCGAAAGUAAGAAAAUAAAACCCCGUAUGAGCUGUGGAAAGGUAGAGCACCUUCAUAUAAAUUCUUACGAGUGUGGGGGUGUCUUGCUAAAGUAGUGGUUCCUUUAAAUAAAAAAAUGAAAAUAGGACAAAAAACUGUUGACUGCAUUUUCAUUGGUUAUGCACAAAACAAUAGUGCUUAUCGAUUUUUGGUGCAUGAGUCUAAAGUUCUAGAUGUCCACAAAAAUACGAUAAUAGAAUCAAGAAAUGCAUUGUUUUUCGAACAUGUGUUUCCUUGCAAUUUUAGAGUGGAAUCGAGAGAACUACGACAAUUUCAUGAAACAACAAUUGAAAAUGAAGAAAAUAAUGAAGCUCCAAAAGAAGAAGAAGAACAAGAAGUUGAGGUCAGACGUAGCAAAAGAGCUAGAAUAGAAAAGUCUUUUGAUCCAGACUUUCUGACGUAUUUGCUAGAAAGUGAACCUCAAAGCUUCAAAGAAGCUGUAACUUCACCUGCAGGCGCUUUAUGGAAAGAAGCCAUUAAUAGUGAAUUUGAAUCCAUUUUACAGAAUCAUACCUGGGAGCUAGUAGAUCUUCCUCCAGGAUGUAAAUCUUUGGGGUAUAAGUGGAUUUUCAAAAGGAAAAUGAAAGCCGAUGGAUCAAUUGUUAAGUACAAGGCUAGGCUUGUAAUUAAAGGUUAUAGGCAACGAGAAGGUCUUGAUUACUUUGAUACUUAUUCUCUUGUUACGAGAAUAAAUUCCAUUCGGAUGAUAAUAACAAUUGCAGCUUUGCGCAAUCUCGAGAUACAUCAAAUGGAUGUAAAGACGGCUUUUCUAAAUGGAGAUUUAGAUGAAAAAAUCUACAUGGAGCAGCCUGAAGAUUUUAUAGCUCCAAGACAAGAAAAGAAAGUCUGUAAAUUAGUAAAGUCAUUAUAUGGCUUGAAACAAGAACCAAAACAGUGGCAUGAAAAAUUUGAUCAUAUGAUGAUCACAAGUGGAUUUAAGAUCAAUGAGAGUGACAAAUGUGUUUAUGUCAAAGAAAUAGAAAAUGGCUAUGUCAUUUUAUGUUUAUAUGUUGAUGACAUGCUCAUUGUUGGGAGUGAUGAUGACAUGAUUAAAUCUACCAAGAAUAUGUUGAAGUCUAAGUUUGACAUGAAAUACAUAGGUCUUGUAGAUGUCAUUUUGGGAAUUAAAAUCUCAAAGGCUUCUAAUGGACUUAUUCUAAGUCAAACUCAUUAUGUAGAUAAAAUUCUUGGGAAAUUUAAAAAGGAUGAUAAUACCGUGUCUAAAACUCCAUUAGAUACGAGUAUACAUCUAUCGAAAAAUAGAGGAGAAGGUAUUUCUCAAGUAGAAUACGCUAGAAUAACAAAUUGUACCAGACCAGAUCUAGCCUAUACAGUAAGUAAACUUAGUAGACAUACAAGUAAUCCAGGAACUAUCACUGGAAAGCUAUCGUAAGAGUACUUAAGUAUCUUCGAUACACUCGUAAUUAUGGACUGCACUAUACUAGGUAUCCAGAAGUAUUAGAAGGAUAUAAUGAUGCUAAUUGGAUAUUUGAUGUAGAAGACUCAAAAUUCACUAGUGGCUAUUUGUUUACACUAGCAGGUGUAGCUGUAUCAUGGAGGUCUUCUAAACAGACAGUAAUUGUCAUAUCUACAAUGGAAUAUGAAUUUAUUGCUUUAGAUAAAUGUGGUAAGGAAGAAUGGUUGUGGAAUUUUUUAGAGGGUAUUCCAAAGUGGCCAAAGCCUGUGCUUACAAUUUGUAUUCAUUGCGAUAGUUAAUCAGCUAUCGGUAGGGCACAGAGCAAUAUGUAUAAUGGUAAGUCUAGAAAGUCUAGACACAUACGUCGUAAAUCAUCAAGGGGAAUGAGAUUAAAACCCUUAGAAUGAUUAGUCAAUAACGAAGGAAAACCCAACUUAGUUGACUGGAGAUCCCAAUAUCUAGGUUCAAUGGGACAACCUAAUUGUUAAAGACUAAAGUUUGAUCACUGUGGGGGUCAUUCUCUUGAGAGGAUUACCUCAUUGACCAUUCCUAUAAUGAAACAAUGAUGCCCGUGAGAGUUAAGGUUGAGCUGGGCUCUUAAUGAUUCUUAUGCAUCGAAAUUCGAGCAGAGUAAUACGUGUUACUCUAAAUUAAGAUAUCACCUAUGUGAGAGAGAAGUGGGGCCGCUUCAAAGGGAGCUAUUACGGGUUCAGCUCUUAGAAACUCUUGCAGAAUCAGGUAGAUGUUUAAGGCCAAAACGAGCAUAACCAUCAUAACUCAACAGUGUUAGGAGAGAUACCUCUGUGUAUUAUAUGAUCGUUUACAAUAACGGCAGAACAGUUCAAAGACAUCGCGUCUACUGAUCAACCAGUAAAGUAAAUAUACUAUCACAAUGGAAGGUUUAAAGGAUAAAACAUACAUAUCCUUUGCUAGGUAUCAAUAUAAUAAACUCGAUCAUUAAGGUCAAAAAUGAUUUUGAUGUCAAAAUUUAGCAAUUUUCUGUUUUACUGCCAAUUUUCAUUCAUGUGGGGGAUUGUUGAAAAAAUAGCAUAUCAAUAUACUAUUUUGAGGGCACAUUUUGAGUGGGUCCCACUUAGCGAAAGUGGGAAAUCUUGUGAAGUUCAGGUUCUACUCUGUGAAUACUUCGAAAGUGUAUAUUUAUUUACUCAAAAUAGUGCUUAAGUGAAUGAGAAAUUAUCUCUCAAAGUGCACCCUUGAAGUUGAAAAUUUAAAAGGAAAUGAGGUUUAUCCCACAAGGGAAAAAUAAGCCAAGGGAUUUGUGUUUAUAUAUAGAUAGUUACCCAUGCAUGAGCAAGAAUUGUAAGGAUAGAGGCUCUCUCCACACGCGCGUGCGCAGGGGGGGUGCGAAUCCAAGAUCGAUUUGGUUGAACUCGUGUGCGCCCGCGCAUCCUACGUACGGGAAUGUCAGCCCAAAAUCACCCAAGCUUGCAUGGCACGUUUUUAAUUUCCUUUUAAAGUUUUGUAACAGUUUUUCAAUUUUUGAAGUCAAAAGAUUUUUAACAGCUUCGCAAUUAUUUUUGGGCUGUUAUGCAAAUUCAAUUUUUGAAUUCAAUAGGUUGUAUUGAAUUGGCUGUUACAACAAUUAAAUGGCAUAUAUUGAAUUCGGAAAUUCAAUUUUAUACUAUUGUUACAUCCUCACAUGUGUAUAAAAAGGCAGCUUCAUCUUCUGUUUUUACACACAAGAACAACCAACACAUAGAGCACUCCAAAAUUUCUUUCCUCCUUCUGACGUUCUGUUUUUUAUCGAGUUUGUACGCUGUCGUGGUUCGCUGGAAUUAUCAGUAUGUGUUUGACCGAUAAUUCAUACCCGUUGUAUCCUGUGAAACAGUUACCAGCAAACCUAAAGCACUACAAUAGGUGGUAAAUCUGUUUUAAGGAAACUGUGCUAUAGGCCUCGGGUUUAUUUUUUGUUUCCGUUUUCUUUGCCCUGCUGUUUUUCAUUUGUUCAUUCGUGAUUUUCUGUUGUUGUUUUACGUUGUUGUUUAAAUUAGGUACAAUAUUAAAUUGUUAUCUCACUGUUAAUUUUCUUACAGUUCUCCUGGUGAUCUAUUUAAUUUAAUUAGAUGUUGAUGGUAGAGAUAAAUCACUCAUGUGGAGGCAUUUUAUAAAGUACUGCGAUAGCAGUUCAUCCACUAAUUAUAUAUGAAACAAUACAAGUGGCCUAUUUUUGCAUGAUUUUGGGAGUCACUUUCUUAGUCAAGGGUUACUUUCUUUACUCAAGUGCUAUAGGUCGUUUUCUGUGGUCCAUUCAUCUUUGCUUUGUGGUUGCUCCGCUAUAUAAUUUCUAACAAAUUCUGUUAACGGCUACCAGUUAUUAAUAAAUAAACUCUUUUGUGUUGCAUGUGGUUAGGUAAGUAAGAAGUUUAACUUAUUCAUAGCAUUUUUAAUUAACUUGUUUAAACUUCAUGAAUCAAAUGUGAGUUGAUCCAAUAUUUAAUUAAAAAGGGAUAAGUUGUCAAGUAAAAAUGCGAUUUACUAAAUCCUUUAAUUGUAUGCACUGUCGAAAUUAGGGCAAAUAUUCGUUUAAUCCCUAUUUUUAAUUUGGAGUUAGAUGUGUAUUUAGUCACUGUAUUUUAAAAAGUUUCUCAAAGCCGUUAAAUAUGUGACACUACUGACCUUAUUGUUUCUUUACUUUUACAAUUAUACCUUUACUACAAUUUUGAGCACAUUAAUUAGUUUAUCUAUAAUAAAAAGUUAUCUAAUAAUUAACAAUAAUUAUUUAUUAGUGAAUUAACUAAUAAAUAUUAUUAUGAAAGAAUUGGUACUUUUUGUACAUUGCAAUAUUCUUCCUAAUAAUUAUUUUUAAAGAAGUUAAUACUAGCCAACCUAAAGCAAUAUUUGGAACCUUGCAAUAAUACAUAAAUAAUUUACAAAAUUAACCAUAAAAGUAAAUCAAUAACAAAGAUUUACAUUUAUUUUUAUUUUUUAGCAUUAAUUCUUUAAUAAUCUUUUUAUAAAUAAAUUAAUUAAUGUCCCUAUAAAUGUUGUUGCAAGGGCAUCAUCAUAAAAACAAAAAAAUAAUAAAGGCAUGAGUGUAACAUAUUUAACAAUAUAGAUGUUUUGAGGUAUUUUGAAAAAUACAAGAAAUAAAUGCAUAACUAAUCAAAAUAUAAGGAUUAAACAAGUAUUUACUUAUCGAAACUAAGUAGAAAUACAAUAGAAUCCUGAACAUUAUUACAUUACCCUUAUAUUGUAAUAUGAAAUUAGUAGAUCAUUUAUUCAUUUUGUCUUGCCUUGCCUUUUUAAGAUCCUGACACGUGUUUGUUGUUAGUUAUUUAUAGUUUAUGAAUAACUUUUCAUUGUUUUUGAUUCCAUGAACCACUGAUGAUCAAUAGAUUUAAAAAAGAUAAGCCGAAGACAAGAUGAAUAGAACAUAUAAAUCAGAGCGGGCCCAUGAUCAAAUUUAGGCUGUGCUAAAUUAUAAAUUUAUAGUAUAUAUUAGAGUUAAUGUCAGUGCACAUAAACAAUUAAAAAUUUUACUCUAAACAAAAUGAAUACUUUUAAUAAAAUAAGUCUCUAACUCUAACUAGUGACAUGGUAGAUUACUCUUUUUAUAUGAAUUUUAAAGGUCCCAAUUCAAAAUUAACUUAACUAGAAGAUAUAUUUCAUUUAUUUUAAAAGAAAUUGAUUUCGGGAUACAGUUGAGAAAAAAGUGAUAAUUAUAUUCUUAUGGAGAAGAUCAUAAAUCUAUACGGAUUUUAAGUACUAAGCUGGGCAGUUUAGCCUAGAUUAUUGAUCGCGCCUAACCCAGUUGGGUUUAACUAUUAGCUUUCCUCCAAUACACUCUUUUUUUUUUUUUUUGAAUAGCCUCCAAUACACUCUUAAAACUCCAUUUUUAAGGAAAAAAAAACCAUUAUCGUUAUUAAUACUCACUUUAAUUCAGAAAACUACUUCUUAUAAACAUCGUAAUCUUUCAGUUCAAAACCCAGAAAACACAGUUUUCUUGAUUUUCCAUUAUCCAUCAUGCGUCUAUACUUUUCUUGCUUAAAUAAAUAUUAUAAUACCUUCAAUGAAAGAUUAAAUGUAAUCUUCAAUUCUAUGAUUUUUAAGUUGAAUUGCCUUGUCACAUUAUCCUCUCCAUCAUAUUUUUUGUGUUUUCACAUUAAGAGUAAAAGAAUUCCUGUUGGAUGCAAAUUCAUUAAUCAUUUUAAUCAUUCAUUUGGGAUUAGAAACAAAACAAUAAAAUGAGAGUAAUGAUGAAUAAAAAAAUAAAAAUAAAUCGUGGGUUUAGCGGUGAGUAACGGACGGUGUGGAGGUGACAGUGUGAGAUAGUUUUGAGAGAGGAAACGAGGUGAGAUUUACAAAGAUUGUUUUGUUCUUUAUCGUAAUUACAUAAAUGAGGGCUUUUAUAAGGUUAGGGUGGAGUUAUUUGAACCCACUAAAUUACUCACUAAACUCAUUUACUAAAUAAACCCAACCUCACUUUUUUAAAUUUUAAAUUUUACUCAAUAAACCCACUUAAAUACCUAAUAUAUCCUUACUAAACCCAAUUUUUAUAAUAAUAGUGAUUUUACUCAUUAAACCCAUAUGAUAAAUGUUUCAUUGAAACAAUUUUUUUUUUGCAGCCACACGAGGCUAUUGUGCAGCCAUAACGAGGAUAUUGUGAAGCCUUGUGCGGUUGUCGCUUGGCCACACGAGGCUGUCGAAAGGCCUCGCAUGACCACAACAGCCUUGUACACCCAUCAAUGAUGUAAUUUGUCGAAGUUUAGUUGGGUUCAAUUUGUAAUAGGUUGAUCUCGAUUCAACUUGUAUGUUUUAGGGUCCGUUUGAUUUAUUCAAGGGAAAAGGACAAUAAAUCCCUAAUGUUUUAGAAAAAAGACAUAAAAUUCCUGAACGUUUUAAAAAAAAUGUAACUCACAUUUUUGUUAAUAAUUUUGUUUUUAAUUUAUAAUUACUAUUAUGUCCCUAUAAUAAAUAAAUCAAUAUAUUGAUUUAAAACAUGCCAUGUGUAUAAUGAAAUCAACAAUUUCUUAUUUAAAACUUAAAACUAAAAUGUAACUACAUUUUGCCUAAACUAUUCACUCUAAAUUAUUAAUGGGUGAAGUUAUUUGAACCCACUAAAUUACUCACUAAAUUCAUUUACUAAAUAAACCCAACCUCACUUUUUUAAAUUUUAAAUUUUACUCAAUAAACCCACUUAAAUACCUAAUAUAUCCUUACUAAACCCAAUUUUUAUAAUAAUAGUGAUUUUACUCAUUAAACCCAUAUGAUAAAUGUUUCAUUGAAACAAUUUUUUUUUUGUUUGAAGAAAGUUUUUUCGAAAAAAGUUUUUUUCCGAAGAAAGUUAUGCAAGGAAUAUGAUUUCAUAGUGCAUCUAUUGGUGGUUUUCAACAAUAUAAUUUCUAUUUACCGAUUCAAAAGUUUUGAAAUGAUGAAAGCUCAACCAACAAGGCAUAAGGAGUCAAAAUGGAUCCUUCUCCAUUGUUCAGGCUUGCUAUCAUCAAGUUAUGUCAGCAGGCUUGAUUUCGUAGUUUAAGUUACAAUGAUUACUCAUAAAUUUAAAUUGACAAAUGAUUGCUCAUAAAUUUUUCAUGUGAUAGAGCAAUAACAUGCGAAAGAAACAUCUAAAGUGAGAACAAAUAUAAAAAUAUUUUAAAAAUAUAUGGCUUGACAGGAAAAUCACACAUCUUGAUUGAUUAGGGUUUAAUUAAAAUAUGAUUAGGGUUUCAUAAAAUUAUGUUGAAUAUGAAGUGGGUUGAAAAAGUAAAAUUUUUAUUUUUUUCCUUUUUUAUUAUAUUUCAAUGUCCAUAACUGUAAUUUAACUUAGGGGUGUUUUAAUCAUAAAAUUUUUUUUUUAAAAGUGGGUUUAAUUAGUAGUUUGGUGGGUUCAAAUAGCCCCACCCAUAAGGUUAAUGGUGGGGGUGGGGCUAUUUUAACGCAUAAAUUCCUUUUUUCACCCUAUUUGGUCUCUCUCUACAUCACUUGCAAAUUAAAAGUUUACCAUUUCACUCUCUUUGGCCAUGGAUUCUUUAUCUUCAUUAAUUCCACUACAUUUUAUUUGUGGCAUUUGAAUUGCGACUUUUUUAUUCUAUUUUAUUUCAAAUGAUACAAAGAUUUAUAAUUUUACACAGAUUUAGGAAAAAUAAAAAAUUUAUAGCUUUCACGAUUACUUAAAAUUCUUGAUACUUAUUUUUGUAUGGGGGGUUUGUUCAUAUAAAUUGAAGAAAGGGUAGUUAUUAUUAUUACGUUCUUGGUCGAAGAGCUUUUGAAUAAAAUCAGUAAGCCAACUUAGGGUCUAAAAUUUCCAAGCAAAGCAUGCAAACCCCUUUGGCCUCGAGAGCCCUAGUCUUGAAAAAAUGAGCCACUAAACCUUGAUCUGAUAUUGCUUGUAGCUUAUAGGAAAAAUUAAUUUCGAUUAUUCGUAAGAUUUAACAUUCAUUUGCGGAUGAGAAAAUCAAAGGAAUUGGUUAGAGAUGAUCAAGAAUUGUGAAAGAGAGAGAAUAGGGUUAAUUAGGUAAUUUUAUCAAAAUUAAUUUGAUAAUAAAUAUUUUAAUUAAAAAAUAGGUGUAGAGAGAAAAUCGAUGGACGUAAAUGUCCCCAUCCUAAUGGUUGGGGGCUAAUAUAUAUUCGUAAAUAUCCUUAACUUAAAUUACUAUUAUAACUUAAUAUUAAAAAAAAUAUUUCUCUUCCUAAAAGUUUUUAAGCAGUGAUAAGAAGUCUAAUUACUAAGCAUAUGGGUUUAUUAAGUAUUAUAGUGGGUUAGCCCUACCCUUUGAUUUAUUGGAUAUAUUAAAGGGAGAAUGAUCAUUUAGUUUCUCUUACAAUUUGAUUUUACCGCUUGGUCCUUAAUUUAAUAUCUUAUUAAAGCAAUAUUAAAAGAUAAAUAUAACCUUUUAAUUAAUAAAAAAAUUAAUUAGAAAAAGAAAAUCGAUUCUUCAUUAUUAAGGUAACCCAUAAACUCUAAUAUAAGUUACAUUACAAAUUUUUAUUUAUUUGUUGUCAAUUAGACUUAUUGGAGAGAGUUAAUUUAUAAAAAAUAUAAUAUUUAUGAAAACAUAAAGAAAUGUCAGUCAGCAUACUCUAUGGUAAAUUCUACAUUCAUUUCAUAUAUAAAAGUUCUAUCUACAAGCGCAAUCAAUUAGAAACAAACAGAUGAGCCUUAGUCAAUAUGUCAUGUAGGUUAAUUAUUGUACAUGUCACAAUCAGAGACCAAAAUUUGCAUACGGUUGACUAAUAAGAAGACUUCCUGAGACAUCAAGUUUCAAGUUAAAAGUCUGAAGUCUUUCUUCAGAUUUUAUGACCAAAUGCCAAAUCCCAUGCUCCCUCUCAAACUUUUAAGGCUUCAUGUUUUCUUGAUCUGAAAACGCCACCCAAAGGUACAUCAUUCUUUCCUUCGUUUCUUUUUCUUCGAGAGCAUCUGCAAGUAAAUUUACUUUCACUCCAUGCUUCCAGUGAUUUGUUUCUUGUUUUAGAUUAUAUAUUUAGCAAAAUAUUCUUUUUCCUCAAAACUACCUAAAAAUUUAGAAUUUAUAUAACUAGUUUUAUCUUAGUCAAUGUAGUGAAGCCAUUUCUUUAUGUUUCUGUGUUGGUUAGAUGAAUUGUUUACUGAGAAAGAUCAAGCGUUCGGAGAGGGAAAAAACGAAAAUAUAUGUGAUGAGAAACGGAGAAAUGUUUCUGGAGAAAUUGAUCAAAUCUUGUAAUAACAAACGCAAUCCCCUUCAUUGUUAUUGUGCUAAAGAGCUCAUGUCAGCAACAAACAAUUAUGACAAACACAAAGUUAUAAAAACUGGAAUGAGCUAUGAAUUAUACAAGGGUUUUCUGCAAGACCAUCCCGUUUCUGUCAUGAAGUUCUUUGAAGACUUUGAUUAUGCAAAGGCAUACUGUUUUAAUAACAUUGUAUACGCAUCACAAAUGAUUCACAAAAAUGUUUUGAGGUUGGUUGGAUGCUGUUUGGAGACUCAAAAUCCUAUUUUGGUUUUCGAAAGUGCCGAGUAUGGAACUCUUGCUGAUCGUAUUUAUCAUCCUCGUCAACCCCAUUUUGAGCCCUUACCAUGGACACUGAGGCUAAAGAUUGCAAUGGAGAUAGCUUAUGCAAUUGCUUAUCUUCAUGUUGGAUUCUCCAGGCCAACCGUUUUCAGAAAUCUUGAACCUUCCAAUAUUUUAUUGGAUGAGCAAAAUGUUGCAAAAGUGUUUGAUUUUUCAUUUUCCGUGUCUAUUCCGGAGGGUGAAACCCACAUAACCGAUUGGUUGUUGGGAACAUUUGGAUAUAUUGCUCCUGAAUAUGUUACUAAUGGUGAUUGCAAUGAGAAGUGUGAUGUUUAUGGUUUUGGCAUGUUGCUGCUUGAGCUUUUAACUGGACAGAGGGCUGUUGAUCGAUCCAGACGUCAAGAAAUUGAAGAUGAAUAUUUUUUGGGUGAUCACGUGAGGUUAUACAUUGAAAGGAGUAGGUUCAAUGAGAUAAUAGAUGCCGUAAUUGUUGGAGACGGAUUAUGCUCCGCAACAGAGCAGAAGGUGCGAGCUUUUACCAAGCUGGCCUUCAGUUGUCUAUCUGUAUCAGCAGAAGAUAGACCAACAAUGGUUGAUGUGGCGAGAAAACUUAGACUAAUGUAUUGUUCUGAAACGUAAUUUGUUGAAGCAUUCAUAUGUUUAUGCAUCUUUUCUUUUCUUAUGUUGCUGCUACUUCAUGACUUUCUAUCAUAUUCCAUAUGUAUAUUGAAUAACUUUACCUUAAUUGCUACUGCAAGAUAAGUAUACCUUCAUUAAGUUCUGAAGAGUUUAAUGAAUCCCAUUUUAAAUCUUUUCUUUUCCCCUCACUCAACGGUGGCUAUCAGUAGUUUUCCAGAUCUGGUCUAUCAAUUUUUACUUUGUUGUUACUUCUGCCAUACAAUCUCUAACAAAUUGAAGGCUACCAAUUAUUCGGAAAAAAAAAAAAAAACCUGGUGUUUGUGGGGAGAAAAGUAAAAAUUUUAACUCAUUCACAUAGCCUUUUUCAAUUAACCUAUAACCUAUUUAUAAACUUCAUGAAUCAAAUGUGAAUUGAUCCAAUAUUUUAAUUAGAAAGUAAUAAGUUGUCGAGUAAAAGUGGAUGUUAAUACAACACAGUCUCGGACAAUAGUACAUUACCCUUCCAAUUGGGAAAGGCAGAUGAGUGAGAUUAAUUACGAAGAGAAAAGGCGAAAUUUUAUUGAAAAAAUUGAUUGCAUCUUGUAAUGGUAAGCACAAUCCUAUUCGUUACCUCACGAAAAUGAGCUCAAGGCAGCAACUGUUGAAAAGUCAAAAGUAAAUGGGGGUCACAUGUUGGAUUCAAUUUGAAUGCACCGAAAUCCACAUGCCUUUCUUGAAAAAAUCAAGAAGAGUUGGAGCCGCAUGUUGAUAAUUUGGAAAAGUUGGAGUCUUGGACAUUUGUCAAAAAAAGAGGAAAUUGUGAUAAUUAAACUUUUGUUGUGAUAAUUAAAUGCAUUUAUGGUAAGGCCGGAUUAUAAAUAGAGAAGUAAUUCUCAUUUGUAAAUUAUCCUAAAAAUAUAGAGUGUGAGAACUUAGGUGAAGAGCUCUCUCAGAGAAUGUAGAGAAAUUCUCUGUGAGAGAGUCUAGAAAAAAAGAACAUUUAUAAGUGAGCUCUUAGAAAGUUUAUGAGAGCGUUUUCUUAAGCGCUCAGUUGGGUUCUGCAUUAUUUCUAUAUGUAUAAAAGAAUGUCUAUCUUGCGAAAAUUGUUUUGUUCAAGAGUAUAUGCGAGUACUGGGUGUAUUUAAGUAUUUGGAAUGUGAGAUUUCGUUACUCAAAUUUUUACUAUAUUAAUUGUUAGUAAAAUAAUCAUUCUCUCUUGCAUAUGUGGGCGUAGGCUUUAUUGUCGAGCCAUAUAAAAUUCUUGUGUCCUUUAUUUUUUUGUGAAUAUUUGGUGUAUAUUGAUUCUGCAUUUGCACACAAGUGAUAUCAUACCAUAAGAAAUGACACUUUCGCAGCACAACAAGUGGUAUCGAGUUGAUGGUUCGUACUUGGGGUAUACAAUGUUGUUCAUGUAUUCAGUAAUAUUUAUAUGAUAUUGUUCAUGAAUACGAUAAGGCUGAUUGACACUGAAAAGUUUACAUUUAAUAAGGUUAAAAAUUAUCAAUUUCUCACUAACAAUGUUAAAUAAUGGGCUAAUAACUUACAAAUUAUCUCAAUGCUCUCCUAAUAAACUUUUAUGUUAAAUUUAUUUACAAUAUGUUAGUUUUAUGUUAAUUUUUAUUUCAAGAAUAAAGAGGGAAUUGGAACCAAAAGCAGGAAACAAAGAAGAUUGAUGAAGCCAUUUGGAAUGCAUUAUUGAGGAGAUGUAAUUAAUAAAAAUAAAAAAAAGGAAGUGAGCUAUAUCGUGAUAGUCAAGUGGGCAUUUUAUCACUUGACUAUCACACAUUUCUAUGUAAAUAUAUAAUUGAAAAAAAAAUAAUAAUAAUAAAAUAAAAGACAAUGAUAUAUUUGUUGCCUAUAAAAGGUAAGGAGAGGAAGAACGAGGGGACGGGCAAGAGAAGACGAGAAAGGAGCUGAGACCGAGACAUAGAAAUUUUUUUUCUUUUGUGUAGUUAACCCUCUUUUAAUAUAUUUCAGAAGUUUUUUAAAUAAAAUUAGUGUUUUGUUUAUCAACAUGAGUGGGUAAAUUUUCUAAGUUGAGAUGAAAGGUGAAGCUCAAGGAUUUAAAUUAUUGAUUUAAUUACUCUCUCAAGUGAGUCCUAAAGUUUAUGUUAUUUGUUUGUAUUUUUUUUCUUUACCACUUUCUUUUUAUGUCAUGUUAAUUUAUAAAUCUAGAUCUCCUUAGAUCUAUAUAGUAUUUUGGCAUAAUGUCGAUGCUCUAAUAUAGUUGUGGCACAUUAGGUACUUAAUUUCAUAUUUAUCUAUACAAACGGUUAGUUAAAGAUUAAAUAACAUAAUAAUUAACUAGAAAAAUGAAUGAUGAAUGUAAAAUAUAAAUAUGAGAGAGUAUCAGGACAAUAAUUUCACAACUGAGAGUAGAUCCCGUAAUCUUAAUAUUUUUUGUCAGAUUGAUCCAUAUUAAUUUUUUCUUUAAUUAAUUUUUAUUUAAUAAUUGACUACCAGAUUUUAAUAUUCUAUGUGGUUCGACUCCAGACUCAUUAGAUUACAUUAUAACUAAACACUGUUAUACUUGAGAGUAAAUAACACUUUUGUGUCACAUCAUAUUUUUGGCAUCAUUCCUGAAAAUUUUCUAAAUUUGGUGUCAGUUUGUCCUUAACUUUGUCGUUCGUUUAUGUUUUCGUCAUUUUAUUUUAUUUUAUUUCUUUGUAAAACUUCAGUUAGCCCCCCACUUCUCUUGAAAUUUUAGUAUUAUUUACAAAAUUUGUGAAAACUUCAUUUUGACCUAAAACUUUGCAAAUCAGUCCUUAAAUCGAAUUGGAACUUGGAUCUUAGGAGUAUGACUUAUUCUUUGGACUUCUGGACUUAAAAGACUAAAUGAACUUGGACCUUUGGACCUUUGGACUUUGUGGACAUAAUGGACAUGGACGUGGACUUUUUUAAAAUUAUCAUUAAGGCCCAAAAACCAAAUUAAUUAUCUAAUUGGUCAUUAAUUCUUAAAAGUUGUUAAAAAGGGGGGAAGAAGUCAUGGCUUGUGGUAAGUAUUCAUUUCCUUCCUUCUUCUUUUAAUUUCUACAAUUUUAUUUUUGUAAUUUUUUUGUGUUAUUUUAUAUGGCUGGUUUAACCAUCUAUUAUUUCAAUUUCAACUGGUCAAUUUUUAAUUUAUUUAUUUUUAUUUCAAAUUUAUUUAUUUUUAAUUUUUGUACAUUUAUUUUAUUUGCUUAUUAAUGUUUAGUUUAUUUUUAUUUUUGCAAUAUUCAUUUGUUUGUGUAUCAUUUUCAUAAUUUAAUUUGACACAUUACAAAUCAUCAGCAUUGUAUGCGACAUUGGUCUCGUAUAGAAAGUGGCAAAUUGAUUAGGAGAUCGCCUUCAUCAUCUUUAAACAUAGCCAAUAUCAAAAGUGAUAACAUUUUAAAGUAUGGAAAUAACCUAACCUUGCAAAAUCGUCAUGAGCAGCCUAGGACACUUGGAGAUUUCAUGCAUCCUACUAGAACAAGGUCAUCAUUAUGCAUAGUUUUUCCUCUUGAUGCAUCUCAUAUUAAUUUUAAAUCUAGUAUCAUUCAACUUCUACCUAUUUUUCAUGAUUUUGAGUCUGAAAAAUCAAUACUUGUGUUUAAGAGAAUUUGAAAAAGUUUGUAGCACCUAUACUUAUCAGAAUUGUAGCAUAAACAUAAUUAGACUCAAGUUUUUCUAUUCUCAUUAAAGGAAAAAAGUUAAAACUUGGCUACAAAUUCUUUCAAAAGAGAAAUCACCACAUUCACUCAAAAGUUAGGAGAAACCCUUUACCAAUGUUGGGAUAGGUACAAGGAGACACUUGACAUUUGCCCACACCAUGGUUUUAAAACAUAGAGGUUAAUGUCUUAUUUCUGUGAAGGACUAACAUCUCAAGUAAACAGGUUGUCAAAAUGAUGUGUAAUGGUGAAUUUAUGGACAAAAGUCUUGAAGUUGCAUUAGAUUACCUUGACUAUAUAGUAGACAAUGCACAAUACUGAGACAUAGUUGGUUUUUUUUUUUUUAUGAGUCACCAAAUAAACUUUAGUCAUCUCUAUUUGGUGGAGGCAUGUACAACUUUAGGGGAGACCAUGAACUUCAAGCCAAAUUUGCAUCCAUACGUAGAAAAGUCAAAGCACUAGAGUCCAAAAAAAUGAUCAUGUCGUGUUUGCAAUUCUACUGACCAUUCUAUGCAGGACUAUCCAACAUUGUCAAUUAUGAGAGAAAGUUUGCAUGAACAAGUAAAUGUCAUGAACAAUUUUAAAAAACCACCCAAUCCAUACUCCCAAACUUACAACUUUGGUUAGAGAAAUCGCCUAAAUUUUAGUUGAAGAAAUGAUAAUAAUGCACAACCUUCACAAAUAGCUCCUCUACAUUAGAAGAAUGUAUUUUUACUUCUUAUAGUACUUAUUCUAGUAAAUAUGGUAUCAAGCACUCAUUGGGUCAGGGGAAAUAAUUUUCUACUAAAUGUGGUGUUAAGUACAUGUUGUGCUAGGUGAUAAUAAUCCUACUAUCAACAAUGUGGCAAGAUCGUCCACUAAAAGACUUAGAUGCAUUCUCUGUCAACACUGAGUCAAGACGAGCCACUAAUACUAAAGUAGAGUUUCUCGCUAACAAAUAUAGUGUAAAGUGCUCGGUAACAUAUACACCCUAAUUUUUCCUAAUUAAGUGUGUUAUGUAUUUUACAUUACGGUAUUAAUUUUUAAAGUCAUCAGAUUGGUUAUAAAUUAUUAUGGGAAAACUUGACGUGACUCGAUUUCUUAUCAUGAAUUAAUGGAUUUGGGUCGAGUUAAUAAAUGGAUCAUGUUUUGAAUAAAUUUAAAAUUUGUCACGACAUAAAUUGAGACAAAUCGAACGUGAUAAAGGGUCUUGUAGUAGGAUUUUAUUUUCAUCACGGGUCUGGUAUUAGAUUAAUUUGUAUUAAGCUAAAAAAAAAGGGAGGGAACCAUUACUAUAAAUGGAAAGAGAGAGGAGUUGGUUUCCAAAAAUAGAAAGAGAGACCCGUUUGACCCGACCCCGACCGACGACUUUGACUCGGCUCUAACCGUUGAUUUCGGCCACCACUCUGGCCGAUCCAGGUACCGAUUUGAAGCUUGAAAGAUGAGCAACAUAUCCCUGCCAUCUUCGUCGCUGGAUAACGGUCAGAUUACCGGCGAUUUAGCCUGAAAAGAUCACGGCUCCACCCGUUUUAGUUGCCGUCGAUUUCAUUGGAAUUAGGCUGCAUCACCACUUGGAUCUUGAUCCUUAGCUCACCCUCAUCGUUUUUUGACCAACCCCACCACCUAAAACCUCUGUUUUGGCCAUGAAUGACUGUCGGAAAGCUCACAACUUUGGGAGCACAAUCUGCCGCCAUCAUCGUGCGUGGGAGGUCACCAUGGGCACCAUUAGACUCAUCGAGGUCAGAACUAUCAGGUCUGAGCUUCCCGUCGUCGUUGAUUGAAUUCCAGUCACCGUUGACCGGCAAGGGCAAUUCGGAGGACCUGCAAAUGUUGUUGAUACCGAGUCUGGACAUCAUCACUAUGAGUGGAAUAUUCAAAACAUAUUUUCAUAGUUUAUUAUGAUAGUAAAGCAUAUUUGCGAAAUGAGUAUUUUAAUUAUUCUGAUUUAAUGAUUUUCUCGAAAUGGAUUUUAUUCACGCAUUGAUAUUUUAUUAAAAUGUUAGUUAAUGGUUUUCCGGAUUGAUUUUGAAUAAAUCAUGAUAGUAAUUUUAAGACUAAAAAAGUAGAUUCAAAUGUGUUAGUGAAAAGAACAAUAUGAUUGAUAGUAUGAUUAAAAGGUGUAUGGUUAUUAGUAUAAAGAUUGUUUUGAAGUCAUUAGACAGUAUUCUUCCCCUCCACAUACAGUGAUACAGAUGAUAUGAGAUGAAAGGCCUUUGGGGCCUGUCUGAGUACACACAUAGGCUUUGGGCCGUGUACUUGGGCGCAUUGUCGUUUGGGGACCAAAUCAUGCAUGCAUAGAUAUGAUGAGACAUGAUGAGAUAUAUGAGAUGAUACUUACCGGUCUAUCCGUGUAGCUCAGGCGCAUGAUGGUACUUAGAUAGUACGUUAUUACCUAUCCGUUGAGGUCCGAAUAUGAGACAUAAUGAGAUAUAUGAGAUAAUACUUACUAGUUUAUCCGUGUAGCUCCGGGGCAUGAUGGUACUUAGAUAGUACGUCAUUGCCUGUCUGUUGAGGUCCGGAUAUGAGAUAUGAGACAUAUGAGAUGACAUUUCGUUGUCUACCCGUUGUAGCUCUAGGGCAUGAUGGUUCCCUGAUUGCCCAUCCGUCGAGGUCCGGGUAUGACGAGAUUAUUCCCGUGGGUACUUGUUUGAUGAUAGUUUUCGGUAUUCAAUGUUCGAUAUCAUAAGUGUUAUGAUUUAUGAAAUUUUUUUAUUCCAGUGUAUGAUUUAAAUUAAAUAAGUUUAUUUAACGCCUCAUGAAAUUUUGAUGGGAUUGUUUAGAGAAGAAUUAAAUUAUUUUUAAGUAAAUUUAUUUUUCAAAAACUACUAUCCACUCACUGAGCUCACUGAGUUUUAUACUCACCAUGUUUUUAUUAUAUUUUUCCCCCCAUAAGAGACUUGCAGGUACAUCAGUCGACCCAGCAACGAUAGUUAGAUUUGAAAUUAUGGCCACAUGAUGGUGUUAGGAAUCAUAGAUGUUAUGUUGGGAUAUUUUGAAUUGUAUAAUUUAUUAUUUAUUUGUGAUUAAGGAUAAAUUUUUGUAUUCUUGACAUUAUAUGUUUGAAGAAUACUGGUAUUUGAUUGAGGAAGUUGGUUGUGUAGGUUGAUUGAAUAUUGUAUCACUUUUGGGAGUGUUAAUUUUAUAAAUUACAGGUUUGGGGAUGUCACAAUUAUAUAUGAGACUUUACUGGAUUUUUUGUAGAAUUAUUAGAUAUUAUAAUUAUUAUUAAUUCAUUUAGGCGAGAUUAGAUAGAGUCAUCCUGGGGGUUUAGGGGGGGGUCAUUUCAUGCUCAUUAUGCCAAACAGUAAUGAUCUUGCACUAAGGAGCCAAUAUAUCAUACAAAAUCUAGAUAAGAUUAUUACUGUCUAUCAAUGAUAAGCCAAAACAAUCCAUUGAAAAGAGAGAGAGUUAAUAAACUUAUCAUAUUAAGCCCAUGGAUCAUGUUGAGGCUUCACUCUCCACUCAAGCUUGAAGUUAAAUUAGCCACUUAAAUCGAACUAGCUAUAUAAAAUGAUAAUUUUAUUAUAAAAUGAUAAUUUUAUACUAAAAUACGUAGAAAAUACAAGAUGGAGAGAGAAUUUUAGAAAAUAGAAUUGUCAAAUUAGGGAGAAGUCCUCUAUCUACAGAUACAAUGGGUAAAUCAUGGCCAUCAAAUGAAAAUAACUCAAAUGCUCAAGAUUGCACCAUGUGACAAGCUCUUAUUGAACGAAACAUGUUACCAAAGCUAUGAUUCAAUGAAUUACAUGUAAGGCACGCUUAGUUUUUUGGUUUAAUAAUAUGCUGCCACAUCAUCUAUCAAUAUAAAAGUCAACUAGCAUUGAUUCAGUGUAUUGCAUGUAUCGUAAGCUCAAUUUUUGGUCCAAUAGGAUGCUGCUAUGUCAUCAGUCAACAUAAUAGGAUGAAGCCACAUCAUCGGUCAAUGCCACAUCAAUUGGGCCCACUAAAAUCGUAAAAUUAUGAUUUUGCCCUUUAUAUUUUUCCUAAGAUUUUUAGUUAUUCUAAGCUCAAAAAUACUAUCUAUUAUGCUGUCCAAUUUCUCAUUAACUGUAAAAUAACCAAAAUACCACUAAAAUACAUAAAAUAUUCAAUUAUACAAAAACACGCGCAAUCAAAGUUUAAAAAACUUAAAUACAUAAAAGUAGAAAUUUUAAUGAGACUUGGAGUGCAAAAUGAUGAUUCUAACCUUUUUAAAUAGAUAGCAUUUUUUACCUUAGAAUCUUUAUAAGGCAAGUCUCAUAGCAAAAAAAUUUGUUUAGAAGAAAGGUACUUUCUCUCUAGUUGUAAAAUAUACUUUUGUUUCUAUUCGACUUUCUUACAUAGGGAUAUAGAGGAGGAGAUCUAAAUGACUCAAUUUUCUGGUUUCAAAGUUGCUGAAAGGAGAAUUAUAUGUGUAGGAUGGUUAAAUGAGAUUUGAUCAAGGGCAUAAUUCACAAGAAAUUAACACAAUUACUAUGUUUACUUUAGAAGACUACAAUAUGAAGCUUUCAUCCAUUUAUUACUCUAUAUCAAUGAAAGGCUUAUAGCUUUCAAGGAAUAGAGAUAAACUUGAGAAAGCAGAUGGCUUUUGAGAUUGAGAUGAAAGACUUGAUAAUGCAUAGAGAAUACUUGGGAUGGAGAUUUCGUAAAGACAAGAAGAACGAGAGCGUAUAAUUUACUUAAGGGUCUAUUUUUAGAAAAGGGGCUAGAAAGGUUCGGUAUAAAUGACAAAGAUUAAACUAAUUUGUACUUCUUUAGCUCCUAAGCUUCAUGUCAUUCUCCUCAAGUGGAACAUGAGUACAUGGUUCACGUUCAUAAACUUGUGCUAUAGGUAGUCUUAUAGAUGUGAUGAUGUGUAGAAAGUCUGAUAUAUCUGAAGCAGUGAGCAUAGUUAGUAGAUUCGGAUAAAAUUCUCUAGCUUGCUAUGAUGUGGAUUCUCUUAUAUGAGUAUGGGAUAAUUUGUGAAAGCAUUUCUUUUAGGAGUCAUGAACUACUAUCGGCUUGAUCCCAGUAGUUAAGUAUGUAAGCAGUCGAAGCGACACAACCAUUUUGGAUCCUUAAUGGAGGAUCACUUUAAGGAUGUUGAUUCAUUGAUAGUCCGCUCAAAUUUAGAUAAAUAUUUUUGAGGUGGAGAAUUGUUGAAAAGUCAAAAGUAAAAGGGGGCUCACAUGUUGGAUUCAUUUUGAAUACACCGAAAUCCACGUGCCUUUCUUGAAAAAAUCAAGAAGAGUUGGAGCCACAUGUUGGCAAUUUGGAAAAGUUGGAGCCAUUUGUCAAAACAAAAAAAGAAAUUGGUUGCCAAUUUCUUAAAAAUUUGUUGUGAAAAUUAAAUGCAUUCAUGGUAAGGCUUAGCUAUAAAUAGAGAAGUUAUUCUCAUUUGUAAAUCGUUCAAAAAAAUGUAGAAUGUGAGAGCUUAGGUGAAGAACUCUCUUAGAAAAUGUAGAGAGAGUUCAUUACGAGAGAGUCUAGAGAAAUGGAGCAUCUACAAUUGAGCUCUUAGAAAGUUUGGAAGAGUGUUUCGUUGGGUGCUCAGUUGGGUUUUGCACUAUUUGUAAAAGUGUGAGAGAAUGUGUGUCUUGCGAAAAUUGUUUCCUUCAAGAGUGUAUGAGAGUACUAGGUGUAUUUAAGUAUUUGGGAAGUGAGAUUUCGUUAUCAAAUUUGUACUAUAUUAAUUAUUAGUAAGAUAAUAUUUCUCUCUUGCUUCUGUGGAUGUAGGCCUUAUUGUUAAACCACGUGAAAUUCUUGUGUCCUUUAUUUUUUAUGAAUAUUUGGUGUGUACUGAUUCUCCAUUUGCGCACUUGUGGUAUCAAACCAAAAGAAAUGACACUUCCAUAACACAACAGCAAGAAACUACUAUGAUGCAAAGAAUGUUAUAAGAGAUGCAUUUGUCUAUUAAUUGUACAAUAGUUUUCUUGAGAAUUGUCCAGUUCUAUGAUGCAAUUUGCAGAUUGUGAAGACUAAUGUACUUUUAGUUACAUUAAAUUUGCAACAAAAAUAUGUCACUAAAAUGUUUUGAAAUUGAUUGGAUGGUACUAAGAGACUCAAGUUCUCAUUCCAGUGUUCAAAUCUUUAGAGUAGGAGUUGGCAAACCGAACUGGACCCGAAGUAUUAUCAGUUCGAUUCGAGUUUUUUCUAGUUCAGUUGGGUAUUAUUCUCAGAAAAAACUGAAUAUUUUGGUUCAAAAUAAAACUCAAUACUCCAGUUGGGUUUUUAGUUCAAAAUUUCAAAUCUAAAAAUUGAACCAAAAAACCAAAAAAAUAAAUGAAAGAAAUGCCGUGUGGCGUUUAGAGAGGAUAGAAUUAAAUCGGUUCAAUUAAGUUUUUUCAAUUUUGGUUCCGCUUUUUCCAUUUCGAUUCGAUUUUUUAUAACUCAAAAAUUGAAUGGAUUAAUACCGAAGCGAAACCAGUUUUUUAAAAUUCCCAAACUAAACCAAAGUAGUGCCCAUCCCUACUUUAGAUUAUAGGACUCUUGAAGAUUGUCUUCAUGGUUAGCCAUAAUAUUUGGAACUUUCAUAAAUGAAAUAUAAGCUGAAAAUUACAAUAGGGACAGUAAAUUAUAUUGCUUAUCUCCAUAUUGGAUUCCUUUGGCCAAUUAUAUUUAGAGAUAUCAAACCAUCAAGUAUCUUAGAGAAGACCACAUUGCAAAACUAUUUGAUUUUUCCCUAUUUGUAUAUAUUCGAGAGGGUGAAACUCAUGUGAAAGAUACAGUAAAAGUGACAUGGACUCGUAACACUACAAUACUUUAUUAUGGUUGAUAUCAAUGAAAAAUGCGAUGCUUUUACCUUUAGUAUAUAGCUACUUAAUCUUUUGGUUGGAAGAAUUGCUGAACUUCCUCAUUUUAAUGCUAGUGGAGAUGAAUGGCUUUCAGUAAAUUAUGUGAAAGAAAUAUCAAACAUAAUAAAUUUAAUAGCAAGGUAGAUCUCAUAAUUCUUGGAACACUGAAAGAACAGAUUUUCCAAGCUUUUACAAAGCUUGCCCUUAACUGUGUCUCUAAAUCAGCAGAAGAUAGGCCAACAAUGGUUCAUAUGGCAAAACCACUUACAAAAUUUUAUCACUCUAGUUCCUCGCACCCUAGUUAUUCUCAUUAUUAAUAAUUUUUAAGCUUUGACUGUUUAGUUUUAUACAAAAUGAGUGAAUUGUGGGACCGUUAUUUUGAUUAUGGAUCUUUCCUUCUACGUAUCUUGUUGAUAGUUUAUGUUUCACUAAUUGCACCAACUUUAGUUAAUGCAAUUAAAGAGCUAAUAGUGAUUUGUUUGACGAAAAAAAAAUGUUCUUUUUUACUUUUACAUUAUCUGAUAAAGAAUUGUUAUGAAAUGAUUAUUUGGGACAAAUGUUAUGCUUCAGUUUACUUAACUUCUUGAUAGUUCAAUGGAACACAAUUAAAAGCUUUACACCAUCGGAGUAAAUGUGAUGAAUCAAUGAUUGUAUGAGUCUUGUGUUAAGUCAAAAUCAAUUAUUUAGGACCAUAAUUGAUAGCCCCGAGGACAGGAUGCAUAGUAAUGUAUGGCUUCGUUUAUGUCACAAAUGUCACAUUAAUCAUUGAACACAUGGUGAUGAGGAUUACUAUUAAACUUUCAAUGGCAAAGUUUCAAUUUAUAGACUGUCAUAUCAAAGCUCUCUCUCAAGCUUUUAAAGGCAUUGGGUUUUCCUUAGCUGAACACACUUGAAUUGGCAAGCUAGAGAUACAACUUUUAAUACUCUAUUUCUUUUUCUUCAGUUACUUUGCGUGUAAUUUACCUUUAUUUUUUUUUCCAAUGAUUUCAUUCUAGAAUUACAAGUUGUACUCCUUGUUUUAUCUUGCUUUAACUCAAUAAAAGCAUUUUAUUGGCUUAUGAAUAGGUGUUAGAUGAGUUCUUUUUUGAGAAAUAAAAUCAAGCGUUCAGAAAAGGUAGAUAAGCAAACAUUUAUGAUAAGGAAUGAAAACAAUUUACAAGAAAAAUUCAUUAUCACAUGUAAUAAUAAAGGUGAUAUGAAGAUGGCCGGUGAAUCAAACCAAUUCUCUAGAAAAUGACAAUGUUUGAGACUUGAGAAGCUUUAUAAAGUCACGUGCUACUCAUAUUACAUAUAACAGAAAAAUGUCUUCACGAAACGACAUGCCAAUUGUGUGUUUUGGUCAAUAGUUUAAGUAACCGCGUGAGGAAACAUGUGUUGGAGCUUGAUUUCAUGUUAGUUAAGUUUGUUAACCACGUGUUAACAAAUUGUACAAUCUGGAAAUAAGUCUGUUAUUGAAAUAAGGUAUAUAAGCUGGUUUUGAUAAUUAUCUUCAGGUGUGAUUCUAAAGUCUUGGAGAAAGAGAUUUAAGAAAGAGAAAGCAUUAUCUUGUUCUGGUGUAAGGCUCUAUAACCGACUCUAUUAUUGAAUCAAUAAAAGCUUAUCUAAAAGCUUAUUGAUCGAUUCUUGUUGAUGUAUUGAUAAUGAUUUGAUAUGUUUAAUCUUGUAUUUGUGCAACUUGAAUUUAUUUGAUCAAAGAGAUCUUGGGCAGUGAUCAGUUUUCUUUAGUUUAAAAACAAGUUUGUUACUACAAUUAGUUUCAGAGCUUAGUGUCUUUUGAUCAGAUCCAAGUACGGCAUCAUCCAAGGUUGAUAUAGAGAAAUUUACAGGUAAUAAUUAUUUAAUAUAUGGAAUAUUAAAAUGGAAACUUUGUCGAUUACUCAAGGUUUGGUAAAUGUAAUUGAGCCUGAGACCAAGAAGGAGGGAAUAAAAGCUUCUUCAUCCAGGACUCCAGAAUAAGCUACUAAAAUUGAUAAGAAAUCCAUAAGCACUAUAAUCCUUAGUCUUGGUGAUUUAGUCAUUAGGGAAGUGGCAAAAGAAAAAACAAUAGCUGGUUUAUGGACUAAGCUUGAAUGCCUCUAUAUGACCAAGUCUCGUGCAAACAAGCUCUAUAUUAAAAAGAGGAUGUUUACCUUGAGAAUAGUGGAGCGAUCUUCACUGAAAGAUCACACUGAUAAGUUCAAUAAGGUGUGUGAUAUUUUAAAAGCCAUUGAUGUUGAAGGGAAGGCUCUCUUAUUGAUUAGUUCAUUACCAAAAUCCUUUGAGAAUUUAGUUGAUGCCCUGGUGUAUGGUAGAUAAACCUUGACCCUUGAUGAAAUGAAAUAUGCUCUCAAUACAAGGGAGCUCCAAGAAAAGUAAGUUCACAUAGAGAAUGGUACGAGUGAAUGAUUGACAACAAAGGGGAAGAUAGGCAAAAAAAAGAAGUACGUGAAAUAAAAUAAUAAAACUAAAAAUCUGAAGUAUUUUUCAGUGCCACAAAAAAUGCCACUUUAAAAGGGAUUGCCUUGAAAGAAAAAAAAAAAAACAAGGCCAAAGAUUCAAGAAACUAAGGUGGAGAUGCAGCUGUAGUGGAAGAGGAAAGUUAUGAGUCUACUAGUGUAUGUGUGGCAAUAGAACAUAGCUAAAAAGGUAAAUGGGCUCUAGACUUUGUAUGCACAUUUCACAUAUGUCCCUUUUAAGAGUUACUUUACUGAAUAACAAGAAUUUGAUAGUGGGAGAAUGAUGAUGGGUAACAAUUCAAUUUGUAAAAUCAUUAGAAUUGGUAAUCUUAGUCUUAAGCUACAUGAUGAUUCAAUAAGAGUGGUUAAGCAAGUCAGGCAUGUACCAAACUUAAAAAGGAACUUAAUUUCCCUUGGAAUGUUAUAUCAAAUGGGGUGUAGCGUUAGGCUUGAAUCAAGACAGUUAUAUAUCUUAAAUGGUUCUAAUCUGGUCAUGAAGGGGACUAGGUAGAACAGGUUUUAUAUCUUGGAUGAUGAAGUGAUAUUUGGAGAGGCAUGUGUAUCAAUAAAGCGUACUGAAGAUAAAACUAGGUUAUGGCAUAUGAGAUUAUAACACGAGUGGGAAAGGCUUAAAAAAGUUAGAAAAACAGGGUAUGUUUUGUUCUGACAAGAUUAUAAAUCUGGAUGUGAGGUACAAUUUUCUUAAAUAUAGUAGAAUUUAUUUUUUUAAGCUAACAAGCCCCUUAAGUUUAUAAUAUUUAAUUAAUGAUGACAUAAGCAAUGACAUAAGAAAUGAUGACGUAAGCGAUGACAUAAGCGAUGAUGUAAGAAGAAGUGUAGAGAAAGUUAAGAAUUAUAGAAUUUAGUAAGUUAUUUAUGAAGGUUAAUCUCAACCAUUGAUCAAGAGUUAUGGUGGCAAAAUCCUAACCAUCUAUUAGCCUUAAGAAAUCCUAUAAAUACCCCAACCACCUUUCAUUUUCAAUCCAACCUAUAAAUUUCAUUCUCUUCUAUUCUAAGUCAUAAUAUCAAGAGUAGAGAAAUCAUCAAUUUAGAAAGGUCUAGAGAAGUCAAGGUCAAGAGGUAAGUAACACUUCAACUGCAAUGUAGGGACAAAAUUCAUUUCAUACUUAAGUUCGGUGUUAACAAUUCCUUUAUAUUAUGAUGGCUAUUAUAACAUGAUUAGUUAUAUUCUAAAUCCUUAAAUGGUCGGCUCUGCCACCUAAUAUGUGAUACUUAUAUUUAAUUAUGCUAUAGUCGGCUAUGCUGCCUGUAUUGAAGAAUGUUGUUCUUAAAUAGUGUUGUGUGUUAAUUCUGUUAUGCAUUUAGGAGCUCAAAUGUUAGGACAUAAGUUACAUUAUGAAGAAGAUGUUUCAGAAAAAUGAAUUUAUGAAAAAUAGGUAGUUGUACUACCAGGUGGCAAAGUUCUAAGGAGGGCAACCCCUCAAAGCUAAGUUAAAAGAAAUCUUUUGGGGACGGCAAUACAUAACACCCAAAAGAUCAAUUAAUGAGACCUAAGGGCAUAUUGUUUAAAGAAUAAAAGUGUCAGCCUUGUAGUGCAACAUACCUAGGGCCCUAAUAAAGUUGUUUUGUAUUUUCUAAGUUUAUUUUAAGAGCUUACUAUGGUCAUCUAUAUACAUCAUAAUUUAUACAUGCAUCAAAGUGUUAUCUUACUGGGCAUUAGCACACUAAGUCCUUACAUUGCAAGUAACGAUGAGUAGGGCAAGCUGGCGCCAAGUCCUAAUCAAGACGAAGUGCAUAUGGGCAUGAUAGACCUUGGGAUUUUAUAAUGGGCUCAGCUUUGUUUCAAUAAAAAUAAACAUCUUAGUUUUGUAUAAAAUAAAGUUUUUAUACUAAGGAGUUUCUGUAUGACUCUUACUUUUUGUAAAAAAGGUUUGUUUGUUGUAAACUCUUAGAAUUCGUAUUUAUAUUAAAAGUAUUUUAAGUAAAUAAUCUAGUGGAGUGUUACACUGGAACUUUGUAAGGACUAUGUUCUAAGGAAGUCUUCAAGGGACAGUUUCAAAAGAUCAACUCAGAAAUCAAAUGAGAGAAUAAAGCAUAUUGAUGUGAAGUUGUAUUUUAUAAGAUUAGAAGUAUUAACAAAAUGUGUGAAGCUUAUGAAGAUACAUACAUAAGAAAAUCAAGCUGAUAUGCUUACCAAAGUUGUACCAUCUGCUAAGUUUAAUCUUCGCAUGACUUAACAAAGAUUUGUAGGUUUUAAUGGCUACAAGUGUUGAGGAAGAUAGCUGACGAGAGUAGUUAAAGUUAUGAGUUCAAAGUGGAGAAUGAUAAGUAUGAACUCAAAACUCAAAUGAUUGAUAUGUAAUUUUGAGGAUUCAUGCUUGUAUGACAUAUCAUUGUUAGAGUUGUAGCGUAGAACCAAUGUGGUUGAGUGUUAUUGUGAAUUCAAAUGCUAUUGGUGUCAAUGUACAAGUGUACACAAUAAGUAAUAUAAUCAUAAGUAUUUAAGAUCAUCUACACAGGGAUUGAUGUUACCAGAUUUAAUACAUCAAGCUGUAACAGUGCAAUGGUUGUUCUAAAUUUAAAUACGAAAAUUGAUAAAAUUAAAUAACUAACUAAAAUAUAAAAUGCAAUAAUUAAAAAUUCAAUAAAUUAAAUUCUCACGUCAAACACAAAAGUAAACCAAUGGGAAUGAAGUAGUUGAGUGAUUAAACUUUCUUAAUGGUUUUGACUAUUUCUUGUAAUUUCUGGUUCAGUUGCUAUAGCAUCUGCUACAACAUUGGGCAGAAUCCUUAUAUAUCCUUAGUUGUGUCAUGUUUGAUGUUUUAUAUCUAUAUGCAACCGAACAGUGACCAAUUGUUAUGCCAACAUAAGAUAUAGCAUUACACACUUAGGUUCUAUUUACCCUAAAAGGUGAAUCCCUAUGUCUAGUUUAUCACUAAUUUUAGAUUAAGCAUGACCCUUUUGGAAUCAAGUGAAACUCAACUCAGGAAACCAAAUCUAAAAUCAAGUAUUGCUCUUAUAUGUUCCACUAAGAUAGGCCCUUUUGUGGCUCUUUCUUAGCUUGUAUCAUUAAAUGAGUUCUCAACCGAAAUAAUGAAUAGAAUAAGCUUUACUAAAACAAAAUGUUAUAGCAAACAUGCAGCAACAUAUAAACUUAGUCAAAAAACCAUUAAGAUUAUCUAUCACUCAACCACAAUUAAAUUAGUUCAUGGUUUGCGAAAGAACAAUAAAUAAAUGAGUUUCAGUCAUUAAAUACAUCCCAAUGAAUAAAUAGAAAAUAAGAAAAGAAUAAAAAAGGUUGAAUUCCCGAUUGAUUUCUGCAAAUUCUCCUUGUUGCAGCCCUUAGUUUAAAUCUUUAAUUCUCUUUAAUUCUCUUUUUGUUGGUUAUUUAUACUCAAUUGCCGAGUUUCAGUCAUAAAAUACAUCCCAAUGAAUAAAUAGAAAAUAAGAAAAGAAUAAAAAAGGUUGAAUUCCCGAUUGAUUUCUGCAAAUUCUCCUUGUUGCAGCCCUUAGUUUAAAUCUUUAAUUCUCUUUAAUUCUCUUUUUGUUGGUUAUUUAUACUCAAUUGCUAUUAAUGUCAAUGUGCAAGUGUACACAACAAGUAAUAAAGUGAUGAAUAUUCAAGAUCGUCUCCACAAGGACUGAUGUUACUAGAAAUGCUACAGCAAUCACGAUAGUGUAAACUUCCUUUAGUUCAAGAGGAAUCUAGUUAAAGUUGAUUACUACCAAAAUUAACAAUUGUAAGAAAAUAAAACAAAUAAAUGCAGUAAUGAAGUAAACUAGAUGAAUUGCGUAAAAAGAAUUUAAUGGGAAUGAAGUAGUUGAAUGAUCAAACUCUCUUCAUGGGCUGACUAUUUUUGUUCAAAUUAACACUAGUUGCUACAACAAUUCCUACAGCACUGGGCAUAAUUAUUUUGGACUUCUCAUACCCUUAAGCACCCUAACAAUGACCAGUUGUUAUUCCACCCAAGGUAUGGCAUUAUGAACGUACACUCUCUCUACCCUACAAGGUGAAUUCUUAUAUCUAGUUCUUCACAAAUCUUAACUAAAGUGUGGCCCUUUUGAGACUCAAGUCAAACUCAAUCCAGAAAAGUUAAAUUAAGAUCAAGUAUUACUCUAAUAAUUUCCACUAAGACAAACCCUUUUGCGGCUCUCUCUUAACUUGAACCAUUCAAUAGGUGCUCAAUCAAAAUAAUGAUUGUAAUAAAAGCAAUCAAAGUAAAAUGUUACAGCAAUCUUGCAGCAACUCAUAAGAACAGUCAAAAACUCAUUGAGAUUGUUUGUCACGCAACUACAAUCAAAUUUAGUUCAUACUUUGAAAAAGAAAAACAAACAGCAAAGUAGCAGCCAUGAAAUACAUCGGUUCAAUCAAAGAAUAAGAAAAGGAACAAGUAAAGAACGAUGAAAAUUGAAUCCAAAAAUAGUUCUGCUAAUUUCUUCACUGGUGCAGACUUGUUUUCCCUUGAACUUUGAUUUUUCCUCUUGAUUCCUUCAAUGUUAAUUCCCUGCCGCUUUUUCAUAUGAUGUGUGCUCUUUUUAUAUUUGAAAACUAGGGUAAACAGAAUCCUAGGGUGAGCAUAAGUCAGAUUAGGAAACUGCAGAUCGCGAUUUUGCAUAUAUCCCGUGCUAAAUUUUCUCUGUCGUUGUUCCAGGAUUGCUACAGUAAUGGUUGCUCCAGCAAUGACUACAGCACUACAUUGUUCCAGAUUUUGUUUCAAUUCUUUUAUAGCCAUGUUCUUCCUCCUUUUCGCAAGCCUAUUACAUCAGCAUUCCUUCCAUGAAAUAUAAGCUCCUGGAUACCUACACUUAUGCACACAAUUUGAGACGAAUUACUCUAAGUCAAGCAAAAUUUAUUAAGAUUAAACUAAAAUGAAUGUUUAUGCAAAAUGUAACAAAAAUACAAUAGAAACACAUCAUUUCCUCUCUAAGUAAUCUUGAUUUGAGUCUAAAAUCGCUAUAAUAACUCUCAUUUCAUAGAGUUAUCACUUUUCAUAUUGGGCACAUAGUAAACAUUCAAAAUCUGCUGUACCGUACAUCCGCCUUGGCCGUACAGCAGCUUGCGAAAAUUGUUUUGUUCAAGAGUAUAUGCUGUUUCAAUUCUUUUAUAGCCAUGUUCUUCCUCCUUUUCGCAAGCCUAUUACAUCAGCAUUCCUUCCAUGAAAUAUAAGCUCCUGGAUACCUACACUUAUGCACACAAUUUGAGACGAAUUACUCUAAGUCAAGCAAAAUUUAUUAAGAUUAAACUAAAAUGAAUGUUUAUGCAAAAUGUAACAAAAAUACAAUAGAAACACAUCAUUUCCUCUCUAAGUAAUCUUGAUUUGAGUCUAAAAUCGCUAUAAUAACUCUCAUUUCAUAGAGUUAUCACUUUUCAUAUUGGGCACAUAGUAAACAUUCAAAAUUAUUUGGUGGCUACCAUCUUUUGCACGAAAAAAAAUGUUACCUCUACCCUUCACUGGUACUUUUGAAUCAUCUCCAAAAGCGACAAUGCUAUUCACAGAUUCAUUUAGUUUCAUGAACAUGCUUCAGUUUCCGCUCAUAUGAUUGCUAGCACUUGUGUCAAGAUACCAUGUAUUUUCUUGACCUCCACUUGUGUCAUUGCGUGCUAGUAAAAUAGUGUCAUCUUUACCAUUUUUCUCUUCAACAUAAUUCACUCUCUCAUCAACUCUGGUACUUGGAGCUCUACAUUCUGAAGCAUAAUGCCCAAACUUUUGACAAUUAUAGCAUUGCACUUGGGAUUUGUCAUACCUCAAUCUUGGAUUGCCUCUACCUCAUCCUCUGGUUGAGCUUUCUCUGUUGGCAUAAUUGGAGUUGCUGUUGUUGAAAUUCCAACCUCGUCCAUGACCACGACCUCUACCUCAUCCUCGACCUCUACCUCGGACAUAGUGUCUUCUCUCAUUGUCGGAGCUUUCUUCUCUUUUUUUUGGAUUGACUUCCAUCUUGAGAAGUUUUUCUUCGAUUCCUUGCUUCUUUUUUAGUUUUUCUUCAUAUGCUUGCAACCUUCCUUGAAGUUGCUCGAUCGUCAUAUCCUUCAGAUCUCUUGUUUCUUCAAUUGUCACAACAAUAUGGUCAAACUUCGAGUCUACUAAUCGAAGUCUCUUUUCAAUGAUCCUUACCUCUUUUAACUCAUCGCCAUUUCUUUUUAAUUUUUUAGAAACGGUCAUAACCCGAGUAAAGUAGUCAAAAAUUGACUCUGACGCCUUCAUGUGUAAGGACUCAAAUUCUCUUCGUAAUGUUUGGAGACGAACUUUCUUAACUUGCUCCGCUCCUUUGUAAGAGGUCUCUAGUUUCUCCCAUACUUCUUUUGAGGAGGUUGUACUAGCAAUCUUUUCAAAAGCAUCUUCAUCUAAUGAUUGAAAGAUGAGAGACUUUGCUUUAUUCUCUUUCUUCUUAAAGUUUUUUAAAUUCUCCUUCUGCGAGGCAGUUAAAGUGGCUUCAUUUUCUGGCACAAUAAAACCUUUUUCCACGAUAUCCCAUAUGCCAUGUGCACCCAAUAGAGCCUUCAUUUUAAUACUCCAGUUGUUAAACUUUCCUUUAAUUGUGGAACUUAAAAUGACAUCAUACCACUAUUUUCCAUAACUCACAAAUUAAGUGAGAAUUUGGAGAUUCUGAAUGCACAGAUGGAUCCGGCACGUCGAAAAACCUUGGGAGGGACUCGAGUCAACUUUUGGUCAACAGUCAACAUCGGUCAACGGUCAAUGUCAGUUUGGUUGACUUUGUUCUAUCCGGCUUGGUUCGGCUCGCGUUGGCUCGGUUCGACUUGAUUCGGUUCAGCUCCGCUUGGCUUGAUUCGGUUCGGUUCAGCUUGGUUCAACUCGGUGAGUCGACUUAGUUUCAGGACAGAAAAAUUCCAACGGCUUGUGUGGGCACGUCCGGUCUCCAAUAUAGAUGAUCUUUACGGUGUCGCAUACCUCUCAUCGAGAGCUUCGAUUUAAUAUGCUAUAUGGCUAUAUAUAGCUUCGAACACUAGCUCUAAUAAAUAAAACACACAAAAAAUACACUAUUUUAUUUCUUCAACAACACUCCUCACCAAAUAAACAACUCUUAUUUUUCACUCUCUACAACUUAGAGAUUUUUGUUACUUCACUUGAUGCAUAAACCAAAGGGGAGAUGAGGUAUUUAUACAUGAAACAAACUAAUCACAACCAUUUAAAUAAGAAAUUACAAAAAAUUAAUAACCAUUCAUCUUCACCUACCACACCUAACACAAAUAAUUCAAAUCUCACCAACCAUACCUACUCAUGGAACCUUCCAUGAGUUGGGCUUGAAUUUAUUCAUCUUGGAUCAAGUUUAUGAUCCAACAGAUACUACGUUUCAUUAGUUGCAUCGGUAAUCUUUACGUUGGUGAAUUGUUUUUUUUUUUUUUGCCGUUGUAUUUACUUCAUAGUCAUCUUCAGGGUUAACUCACUAUGUCUUCUUGACUAGGUUCUUGGCUUUUAUUUAAUAAAUGUCUAGUAUUGUCGAGGUUAUUCCAAAAAAAAAAAAAAGAAAGAAAAAAGAGUGACCGUUUCAUCCCUCAUAGAUGUUUUUGUCAGAAUCUAUAGCAUUCUCCAUGAAUUCAGAAACAAUUACCCGAAUCCAUACCUGUAGCACGCGAAAGUGGAAGUGGAAGAACCAAGGUUGAAUCACCAUUCAAUUUGGUCGGAAAGCAAUCACAAAAUUGGAAGUCUUCUCAAAUCACAGCAUAAGAAAUUUAUAUGCAAUGGGGCUCGAAUUAUAGAGUUCCCAAAAGUCUAAAGUGAGUUCUCUGCACUUUUCAAAUCUCAACAAUAUUUUGUUCUUCGUGCUUUUAUAUCUACACAUAAAACUAAAUUCUGUGCAAUUCUUAUUUUAUGUGCGUAGAGAGAGAGGAAAAAAAAAAGGAGGUAGAGAGGUUAGUGAUAACCACCAUGAUUCAACUUCCUUUCAUCUUUUCUUUAUUUAUACGCUACUGCUAGUAAUUACUCAAGUGGUAAUUACUUCUAUAUGGAUUGGGUCCGAUCGGUUCAUCUUGUGCAAACCAUCUGGCAACUCCCCUAAGUCUAUCAAGUUGAUUUACUACUUACAUUCCCACUAGAAUUUUAAUUAUUUGCUUCAUCCCUACCAUUAGAAAUUAACGGAAGUAAUUGUGAAAGUAAGCAUAAAACAAUCAUUCAAAGUGUGAUAUUUUUAAAAAUUCAAAAUUAAAAUCUGAAAUAAGUUGUUAGGAUUAGAAAAAAAAUUGAAAAAUGAAUGGUUUUUUUUUUUUUUUGGAGCUAAACAGACCAAUCUUUUCCAUUUUCUCUUGGGUUAUAUUUCUGUACAAACAAAACUCUUCUCUUACCCGUGAAAUACUGUGUCACUCAUGAAACCCUUUCUCUUGUAGACAACAUCAAACCCAAAAAUCACCCACGACCGUUAACCAUCCAUACAUUCUGUUGUUCGAGACGUUUGUUUGAUGUGUGGCACAGCAUUUUGAUCGAAUCAGAUCGGUGAUAAUCAGUGGAGAUGGCUCCAAAAUCCUUCGAGGUUAGUUGUUCUAGGUAAACCUACCUUCAUUAUAUAGAAAAAAAUUGUUGUUGAUUUAUCUUUAUAAAUUGUAUAUGUUCGUAUAAAUAAGAAAUAAAGUUGAAAGCUUUACCUGUUUAAAACUACGAAGAUUUUGAAAAAUGAAAUGGGUAUUAUCUGUAAUGGGUUUGAAGUAUAGAAGUACUAGAACCCCUUUGCUUGAAAUGUCAUGAAAUCCUAUAAUGAGGGAUAGAAUUGUAAACGGACAAAAACUAUUGACUUUAUCUGUUAUCUUUUGACACAGAUGUAAUAGGUAAUAAAAAAUCUAGUGGAGAUGUAAGAGGUAAAUAAGACAUAUCUAUCAAGGAUGAAACAUUUAUUUUCCCCCCCAAAAAAAAACAUAUGUUGGAGUUUCCUUAGCUUUCCAAAUUGGUGGUACAACAUGGAGUAGCUUCUGGACUUUUAUUUCAUAAACAUCUUGCAUUGUCGAGGUUAUUAAAAAUAAAUAAAAUAAAAUAAAAAUCCAGUGGUCGGAGCUUCCUUAGUCUCUCCAAAAUCACUAAUACAACAUGAUAUGUGUUUUAAGCGGAUUUUGGUUGCCAGGAAGAUGGAUAAAAAUCUCACCAAAAUAAUGAAUUUAUUUUUAGGAGUUCGGGUACCUCACUAAAUCAUGGGAUAGGGGGCUGUUUUAGGCUUUAAGGGAGGUGAAGAAGAAGGGUGCCCAGGGUGGAUAAUGGCGAGAAGUCUAAAACGGAGUGAGUUGGUUUGAGAUAGUGUCAGCACACCUGCAAAAUAGCCCAGGGAGGUUAGAGGUGGAGUCGACAGUGGCUGGUGACCACACUCCGAUGCUCAAGUCAGCUACUUAAAUUUUUAUGGAGGUGAGAGCUUGCAAGCUCUCUAAAAUGAAGGCUGAAGGUUGAAGGUUGAAGAAGUACAAGGUUCUACGUUCAGAGAAUGUUAUCAUCCUGUCAUCCUCAUUCUCAAUCUUGGCAUUCCCUCCAUGACUUCACUUUGUCGGAUUCUUUACAGAAGAUGCUAAUGGAUUCUCUAAUUAUUUGUUUCAUUGAUAUUUUUCUUUCUUAUAGUUAGAUUCUUUCAAGCAUUUUAAUAAUUUGCCUGCAGAACUUUGGCUACGUUUUGUUGUGGCACCAUGCACUGUUUGAGAGGCAAAGCGAAAUACAACCUUCUGAUUGUUAUCAUUUUCUUUGUCUUAGACCGUCGAGGUUUCUUAAAAUAAAUAAAUACGAUAGUAUUUAAAAACUUAAAGGACAUAUUACAUAUAAGCUCAAACACUAAUUUUUCAGAUAAUUUAAUUAGUUUUAGAAAAACAAACAAUGUAACAUUUAUAAUCAGAUAUUAAACGAUGAAAAACGAACAUAUCAUUUAAACUUAUGCAUUCAGUCAACAUCCGCCUUGGCCGUACAGCAGUUCAGUGCCACAAAAAAUGCCACUUUAAAAGGGAUUGCCUUGAAAGAAAAAAAAAAAAAAACAAGGCCAAAGAUUCAAGAAACUAAGGUGGAGAUGCAGCUGUAGUGGAAGAGGAAAGUUAUGAGUCUACUAGUGUAUGUGUGGCAAUAGAACAUAGCUAAAAAGGUAAAUGGGCUCUAGACUUUGGAUGCACCUUUCACAUAUGUCCCUUUUAAGAGUUACUUUACUGAAUAACAAGAAUUUGAUAGUGGGAGAAUGAUGAUGGGUAACAAUUCAAUUUGUAAAAUCAUUAGAAUUGGUAAUCUUAGUCUUAAGCUACAUGAUGAUUCAAUAAGAGUGGUUAAGCAAGUCAGGCAUGUACCAAACUUAAAAAGGAACUUAAUUUCCCUUGGAAUGUUAUAUCAAAUGGGGUGUAGCGUUAGGCUUGAAUCAAGACAGUUAUAUAUCUUAAAUGGUUCUAAUCUGGUCGUUGCAAACCGUUUCCUGGGAUUGAACCAGCCGCCUAAUGACAACAAUCACCCUCUUGCUGAGGCUCGACGCCAAUUACCCUCUUUCCAAUACAACCAAAAAGUAUUUUUUCCUUUUAUUUUUCAAUUAGUAAUGUUAAAGCUUGAACAAGGCUUAAGGAAAAUAUCAAGAUAUUUAUAGGGAAUAGCGCGUAAAAUACACCUACGCUCGUGAGCGCGUGCAUGUGUUUAUGCAUAUGUAAAUGUAAACUUAGUUAUGUUCUUUCAAAAUUUACCAACUCAAGCUCUCCAAAUUACUAAUUCAAGCAUCUUACAGAUUAUUUUACCAAAUUAUUGAGAACUAGAAAACAACAACAUUAAUUAUAAAAAAUCUAAGCGUAUCUGACUAAUUCUAACUACUAUACAAGUUACCAAUUGCCUUCUAAGGGCUUGGUCGAGUGGUUUUCAAAUAGUUUUAUUUAGUUGGUCAUCAGAGUUCAAAUUUUGCGCAUGUAGAAGGUUAAAAAAAUGAUUGAGGUAUUGCCCACCUCUCUAUCUUCGAAAAAAAAAAAGCAAAAAAAAAUGUGCCCAAUGGGCAUGGCCAAGUAAUUUUCUAAUAGUUUUAUUUUCAUUCUCUUAUCCUUGCCAUUCGUGAGCUGCUCAGCAGGGACUGGGUCGUGAAAGUGAACCACAUCUAUCGAGAAGCAAACAUAGCGGCAGAUUUUCUGGCCUCAUUUAGUUUGUCUUUUCCUUUAGGCUUGCAGUUACUUACUGUUGCUCCUCCUAAUUUAUAGAGAAUUCUUCAUAACGAUAUGUCUGGGGUUGCCCACUCCCGUUUAUUGGUGCUUUAGCUCUUUUAGAGCCCAUUAUUGAAAAAAAAAAAAAAUUUAGAUUUACCCAUUAUCCUUAAAAAAAAAAAAGCAAAGAAAAUUUUGAUUUUGAUUUAGACUAAAUAUAAACUGAUUUUAAGGGUAUAUUUUUCUUGAGUCCUCGUUUGUAGAAAGAAAUUCACACCAAAAUUUUAAAAAAUACAUUACUUAAGUCCUUGUCAAUACAAAUUUGUCUCCUUCAAGUUCUUGAAUGAAUUUCAUAAUUAAAAAAAAAAAUAGCGUUAUGUCAUUUUACUCAGAUUUAAUCGUUCAGUCUUCUUAUUUUUAAUUUUAUGCAUGACAGUGCCAAGGUUUCAAGCUGACUAAGGUUAGAAAACCUCAGCUUUUUAUAUUACUUGUUCUUUCCUAUUUUAACAGUUUCUUGUUGCUCAACUCUACUUCAUAAUUUUACAGGGUCCUUUGCUAUUAUAACCCCUCGUUCAACUUUAAUUUUGGAAAUUUUAAUUUGCUGAUAAAGGAUCUUGAAAGCCAAUAUAUAGACUUGUAUAAAGACAUAAGAUAUUGCGCUGAAAAUGAGAGAAAAAAAAAAUACUCCUGAAGUUAAAAAAUCUAAAGUAUUUAGUUGAAAGUGGGGACUUAUAUGUAUAGGGAAGAAAAAUAUGUGAUGAUAAAUAAUGUGAAAAACCUUCAAGUAUUGUGGUGUUAAAUCUAUUGUAAUUAUUGAGCAAUUGGAUUAAUUUUUUAAACUGUGAAAAAAUAACAAUUAGUAAACUCAGAUAAAAUAAGCUUUAAACCAUUAAUGCGAAAUAUAAGGUUAUAACUAGCCAGUUGAAGACAUGAAUAAAAUCAAUUUCAAUUUAGAAAAAAUAAAGUGACAUUUUAACAAACUAUGGUCAUGAGUUUCCUUCUUUUUUUUUUUUUUCCCUAUUUUCUCCGUUUUCUCAAAACACAUAAUUAAUAAGCAAGAGCAAACACUUUGUACGCUUUAAUAUACUUGAAUGUAAUUAUGUGACUGCAUGUGUGGUGAAGGAAAUAAAAUCUAUAAUUUUCAAGAAUUAGCACUUAAAGGUCUCAACUAAAUACCCUUAUUUUGUUCCUUCAUUACUUCCACUUACGGAUUAUUAUUUUGACAAUAUUGGAAGGCUUCAUUACUUCCAUAUAUGGACUAUCAUUGUACUAUUAUUAGAAGGCUUUUUUAAUUUGUUACCCAAUUAGUCUCACACGUGUAAUUAUGGUACUUCAAUGCUUUUUUUUUUUUUUCAUAUCAAUUAAUCAUUCUUAAAUUUUUUUCCAAAAAUAAUUUUUUUGCUAGAUUUUUUAAGUGAUAAUAUCAUCACUGUAGAUGAUAUAUUAUAAUAUUAACAAUAGUUGGUGUGGCAGACAACCGGGACAAACUCUAUUUAUUUAUUUAUUUAUUUUUAAUUGCACGUACCUUAAUGAAGCUCAAACUCAAGACCUGAGUCCUAAGGAAGCAGCUCCUUACCACAACUUGGCCUCAACUCAAGCGAACUCAUCUCUUCAAACUGGAAUACAACUUUAUCAAAGCCUAAUCAUUUCAUUAAGGUCCAACUGUGUCACCCCAAAGACACCGUUAAAUAAUUUAUUAAUUUUUAAUAAUUUUCUAAUUAUUUAAUAGUCAUUAUUCUUUUCGUUAGCCUUUUGUUUUCAAUUUCCACUGCUUUCAAUUUCCGCUGCGGUAGUCAUAUUCCGUUGAAUAAACAAAAUGAGAGAAUUCUCAUUUCAUAUACCUAUUUUUGGCACGCUCACGAAAAAGAGUUAUUUUAUCACAAAGUACUCACCGAGUAAUUUUCAAAUAAUUUUAUACACUACCACCAAAAUUUAAAUUCCAGAAGUAAUAGUUGGUGUUGUAAGUCAGGUUUGCGUAGGGAUGGCAAUGGAUUGGAUCUGAUCUAAAAUCCACGUGAUCCAAAUCUAAUUGGAUCAGAUUUGGGUCGGUUUAAAAUGAAUUUGGAUCGGAUUUGGAUAUCGAUGUGCGGAUCUAAGAUGGAUCUGGAGCAGGUCUGGAUCUAUCUUAAUAUCUAAAUCCAUAUCCAUAUCCACCAAUCUUUUAAUUUUAUUUUAUUUUAAAAGUUUCUUAACAAUUGUGGAAUUAUAAUGAUAAUAAAUUUUAUUCAUAGCACAUUAGUGAUAUUUACCAUACAUUUAAACUCUUCAAACUUAAAUGUUAGUUUUGUAAAUUUAAAGGUCAGCCAGCCCCAAAGCAUUUACAUAUAAUAUUCAAAUUGCAAGUCAAGUAAUACAACCUGGCAAUAUAUUUUAUUGUAUUGGCUAAAUAAUUUUUAAGGAAUAUAGUUAUUCAUAUAUUUAGUCAAAUAUGGUCAUAAUAAAAAUAAUAAAGCACUAAAUAUAAAUCAUAUUUAAUUUAUAUGUCAUUAUCUAAUGUUGUAAGAAUGAGGGUGGGUGUGUCGUGGAUAUUAGAAUGAUGAAGGAGACAAUAUAAUAUUAGAUUGAUCUUACUCCUGCAAUUACUUUUGAAUGAUAUUUUAUUAUUUUUCUUAUUUAUUGUUUUGUGUAAAGUAUAAGUUACAAUAUUUAUUAUAUUUUAAAAAAAAUAAUAUAAUUUAUUUGUUAUCAAUACAUUUUAGCCUUCAAUUUUCAUUCUAAAAAAUUAUCUGCUGUACGGCCAAGGCGGAUGUACGGUACAGCAGAUUUUAACUUAAAAAUCUGAAAACUAAUAUUUUUAUGUUUGCGUUCGUCCAAAUUAUAAAUGUGAAACAAAUAAUAAAAGAUUUGGAGUAGAUAUAGAUAUUUAUUUCUUUUUUGGAUUUGGAUAUGGAGCGAAAAAUAUAGAUUCAGGAUAGAUCUGGAGCAGAUACGAAUCUUAAUUUUUAUUAUAGAUAUGAAUCUAGAGCAGAGUAGAUCCAACCCAUAUCUGUCCCAUUGCCAUCCCUAAGUUUGCGAAGUGCUGGAUGUUCAAGCCACUUCUGACCAUGGGAUGUAUUUAGGUCUUACCUCUUGUAUUGGCAGGAAGAAAAAAGUUGUGGUCCAAAACAUUCGGGACAGAGUUUGGCAGAGAAUUCAAGGAUGGAGUACGAAGAUGCUAUCUAGAGCUGGCAAAGAGAUUUUGCUGAAAACGGUGGUGCAAGCAAUGCCUAACUAUGCCAUGAAUGUCUAUCUCCUCCCUCUUGAUCUUUGUUAAGAGCUUGAGAUCAUGAUGAAUUCAUUUUGGUGGGGUAGUAAACGCAGUGGUGGCAGUGGGGGGAUUAAUUGGAUGAAGUGGGAGCGGUUGUGUAAGCCGAAGGAUUUUGGAGGAAUAGGUUUCAAACAACUACAUAUCUUCAAUGUAGCAAUGUUAGGAAAACAGAUGUGGAAUAUUGGUAAACCCAAAUUCCUUUGUUGCCAAGAUUCUCAAGGCCCGUUAUUUCCCUAGAUCAUCUGUUCUUAAUGCAAGCUUGGGGUUCAAUCCAAGUUUUGUCUGGAGAUCCAUAAUGGCAGCGAAAGAUAUUGUUGUGAAAGGUAGCAGAAUUCAGAUUGGAAGCGGGCAGCAAGUCCUCAUUGGAAAUGAUCCUUGGCUUCCUAACUCUGAAUGUGGUUUCAUUACUACGGAGCUGCAUGAGGAGAUUAAGAUGGCGCCAGUUUGCAAUCUGAUGGUACCGGAUCAGCGUCGGUGGGAUUAUGAUGCUGUGACCGACCUAUUUAACCCUAGAGAUAGAGACCUUAUUCUACAAAUUCCCCUUAGCACUCGUAGAGACCUUGACUUAUGGUAUUGGUUGGCUGACCCUCGUGGUGUGUUCUCGGUUCGUAGUUGCUAUAAGUUGAUGACGUAUGAUGAUAAUAACUGUUCCUCCAGUGUGUGGAGACGUUUGUGAAGGUUGGAUGUGCCGGGUAAAGUGAAGAACCUCCUCUGGCGUGCUGCUAAUAAUGUUCUGCCUACUACUGAUAAUCUUCGGAACCGAAAAAUUCAGGUGCUGCCUCUUUGUUCCGUUUGUAAUGCCUAUAAUGAAUCUGUUAUUCAUAUCUUAGUGGAUUGUGGCUUUGCCAAAUCUUGCUGGAUUGCUUCUCCUGUUGGCUAUAUUGGUCAGACUUCUUCUUUUCUGGAGUGGCUUGGUCUUAUUUUUUCUCGGUGCAGUAAGGAGGAUUGUGAUCUUGCUGCUAUGAUCUGUUGGAAGAUUUGGGCUCAUCGCAAUGAUAAAGUUUGGAAUAAUAGAAGUGGGCGGGUUUAUCAAAUUCUUAAUUCUGCUGGCCAUCUUUUAUAUCAGUGGCAAUCCUUGAGAAAACAGGCCAUGUUUACUGAUGUAGAUGAGAGCAGUUCGGUUCAUGGGGCUGUGUGUUGGAAAAGACCUCAUGUUGGUUGGGUUAAAUGUAAUGUUGACGCUGCUGUGUUUUCUUCUCAAGCAAUGGUCGGUCUUGGCUGUGUGGUUAGAAAUUCUGAGGGCAUUUUCUUGACUGCAAAGUGUGAUAGAUUUCUGGGCAGCUUUGGGGCCAGAGAAGCAGAAGCUUUUGGUGUCCGUGAGGCUCUCAGUUGGUUAAAGAAGCUGCAAUUUCCUCGUGUGAUCAUUGAGAUAGAUUGUCUUCAAGUUUUCAAGGCCUUAACUGAGAACCAUUCAAGUCCUAAUGGCUUCGGCCUCAUUAUUGAGGAGUGCCGUUUUUUAGCUUAAAAUUUGGGAGAAGUGCAAUUCUCGUUUGUCCAUAGAUCUGCGAAUACUGCUGCCCAUAGUGUUGCUAGGGUGGGGGGUUCUAUGUCAGGUCCUCGCGAGUGGAGUUUUGUUCCACCUCGUUGGCUUUUGAAAGAUCUGUAAUCGCUUUUCUGUUUUAAUGAAUUUUCUUAAAAAAAAAAAAAAAAAUUCCAGAAGUAAUAAGAAUUAAAAUAUCAAUUUGACCAGGCCAACUCUACCUUCAAAAAAAAAUAAAAAAUAAAUAAAAAAGUGCCAUUUCAAGUAAAAAUAGUAAUCGAUUCACUUCUUUCUUAAAGGAAUAUGGUACAUGGUAUGUUGAAUAUGGUACUACAAUCUAAUCUGUCGGUGUAUCAGUAAAACCUGUAAAACUCUUCUAACUCCAGCUAUCUCCAACAACAUUAGCCUUCUCCGAGUGCAUCAAAGAUGUGCAACUGCAGCAAGCCAUCCUUCAAGAACUCCAGAGGAUCCCGACCAUCUUUUGUGUAAUUGUGUGAAGGAGAUGAGCAAGCAUCACUGCUGCCUUUUGUCUUCGUAAAUAUAAACAAGAAUCGGCGUAGAAGUAAACUUCCAUCCUGUCUACACAACACACCCCCAUUCUAAUAGCAGUGUUUGCAGAGAUUUCAGCAAAUGCUUUUCAUGCUUACCAGAAGCAACUGCUGUGUUGACAUCACGCAAAUAAGCCUAUUGCCAUCAAUUAGUUGAUUUUCUGUCAUUUUCUCCCAAAUUUCUUGUGUUUGUUAAAUUUGGAAGCAGAAGCGGGUGUAUAAACUGCUGUUCCAUCGUUUCUGCCAUUUGUUUUCUGCUCCAUCUUUCUCUUUCUCCUUGGUUUGGGCCCUUCAUUGAAACUCCUGUUGGUUUUCCCACCUCUUUUUAAUUGACCCAUCAUUAUCUUUUCAUGGUUAUAAUCCCCAGCUCUAUUUCCCAAUUUCAAACCACCAGUGCCCGUGGCUUUAUGAGGUUUGCUUGAGCGAUAAUUGUUUUUCUUCUCUCUCUUUCUCUUUUUAUGUUCUGUUGAACCAUUUACCUCAGAUAAUACAUCCAUUUCCUUGCGUUUCUUCCUAUGAGGCCUACAAAUACACAGUUUUAUAGUUCAUUAGUAAACAUUUAAAAAAAAAAAAGUGGAUUCCAGAAAGAAAUUCAAGCAUAAGAGAUCAGACCAUUUUGCAGGUGAGUGGAUUCCAGAAAGAAAUUCAAGCAUAAAAAAAAGUGGAUUCCAGAAAGAAAUUCAAGCAUAAGAGAUCAGACCAUUUUGCAGGUGAAUCUGAGGUCACUGUCUCUGUACCAGUGCCAACUUCCUUAGGACCUGAUUUAUUCUGACGGUUCUGCAAUAAGAAUGCAUGAUAUCCAGCAAUUCACAUCAUCAUGCAUCGUAAUAUAAUUCUUUAUUGCACACACUAGAAAGAACUUGAAAGGCUACAAAUCGAACCAACAAUAUAAGCUGUGAAAGCACAUUACAAUCUGCUGGAGGUGUAGAUUAAGUAUAAAUGUUGAAUCACAGGUCUGAAAUGUGAUAAACAAAGAGUCAGAAAAUAAAGACGAAAGAAAGAGUGCAUAGGACAAGAUCCCAAUCAAGCAUACUGGAUGCAAAGGCUAUUGGACAUUACAGGUGCAAUUUGAUGCAGAAGAUGAAACGACUUGUUUCAAAAAAGUAUUUUGUCCACUGAAAAGCAAACAGACAGAAGUGGUAAAGUGAAAAUUGCUUAUAUAAAACAGUGGUUCCUUCACUUGAAUUAUCUGAACAUUAUUUCGAUGCCCAAUCUAUGUCUCAAUCAGAUAAAAAAAAAGGUAAUAGAAAGUAAAUAAGUUUUUUCAAACAUUAAGAAAUUAAUUACCUCCAGAACAGUCUUCAAAAAUCUCCUAUAUUUGUCUGGAGUAACUGAUUGAACAGCAGCAAAACCACACUUCCGUAUCAUAAUCUCCAGAAUGACUGUGACCUAUCGUUGCACAGAAAUGAAUAUGCAUGUGAGAUAUUUAAACAAUUUGAAUAAAGUUUAUAUGCAUAAAAAUUUAAUGCAAAAUUGGGAGUACCUUUGAUCUAAAAUGAUUUCUAGAGACCGUUGACCAUGGGAGAACUUCACUAAUGACAUCAGCAAGAAGAUUCUGCAUGUCUUUUGCUAGCAAGGAAGAGACCAUUACUUUCACAAAACCUAAAACAGCCUGUCAUUAUGUAACAAUCAACUCAAUGCUGCUGAAAGGUACACAGUUUUUAAAGAACUAGGACUAAGGAAAAACUCACUUUUAUAACUUCUGCAGCUUUGCCUUUUAGCAAAGAUAGAAGAGAGUGAACAAGAUCUGGCUUUGAGAUACAAAUGUCAGGAUCCUGAUAAACCAGCAUAGAUAAUGCAGAUACUGCUCCACUCUUUAUGUGAGGAGAUGAGCCAGAUAGAUAACCCAAGAUCUGGCCAUAUGUAAAAAACAUCAUUAGUCCUAAGCUAUAGCAGUAGCAGUUAUGAAAAUCAGUAAUACAAAUAUAAUGGAAUUUUGAAGAAAGGAAGGGAAAAUUUGGAGAAACUCACGACAACUGCAGUCCCACAAAACCAAAUAAAUUAUUUAAGAGGACACUAACCAUAUUAACCAGUUUGUAAAACGGUGCAUCAGGAUUGACACAUGAUGAGUCUCUCAAGCUGGAGCUUAUCAAGAGCAGAACAUCAUAGGCUGCUUUCCUAGGUCCUUCCUUUGCCUACAAAUUGACAAAUAAAUAAAAUGAAAAAGCACAUAAUAUCAGCUCAUCACUCGCUUCUACCAUCUAGAUCAUUAACAAUGUUUUAAUACCAAGCACGAACAGUUAAAAGGUUAAAAAAUGGAUAAAUCAUGCUCCAUAACAAUGAAGCAUAUAAACAAUGUUUUAAUACCAAACACCAACAAUAAAAAUGUUAACAAAUGGAUAAUUCAUAUUCCAUACAAUGAACCAUAGGUAAUGAAAAUUAACAGAAUGUUUAAAAUCUUAAAUGACAGCUUAAUUUCAAACAAUAGAAAUUCAAACAGAGCUGUAACUACUAAAACUUUUUAUAACUAAUAACUUUUUUCAGUAAUCACAAAGACAAAAUUUGAGCAGAAGCUCUUCGAGAAACAUAAAUUAUAGUUUGACUGUUUACAUAAAUUUUGCUUAAACGCACAACAUCAUAAUACUAAAAGCUUUGACAACUCAGAGAUACUACCUUUCCCUGGUACUAACAAGGGACUUGUAGGUUACCCUAUCAGAACAUCCCAGACAGCAUCACAAAAAAACAUGAACAUUAAUACAAAGUUGACAGUUUUCUAAAUGGAAACUAGAGAUACAGCAUUCCAACAUAUCUAACUUCUUAAAGCCAUUCUUACAUCUUUUAAUGUGACUAUGAUCUCAUUGAGGAUAAGAAAAGCCUUUGUAUUCUCUUCCUCCAAGCUCAUCUGCAUAAAGAACUUGAAAGAGUUAAAUAGGCAGUCUCUUGCCCUCUAACCUCGGAAAGAGGGUUGUAAAUUUCACAUCUACAUCAAAAAGUCAAUCAAUAAGAUCUUGUAAAUAUAAGAGCAAUUCAUCUGUAACCAGAGUAAAGUAUUUGCAAAAGCAUUGUAUUUAUAAAAUACAAGUAAUAGAUUCUCAAAACACAAAACAAGAUAAGGUAAAAUAGUUAUCUGACCUUCAAUGUGUGAACCAGAAGAAUGUGGAGACAUGCAAAACGACUUCCAAGGGAAGCAACAUCCACAGGAGAUUUCACACCAAGUAAUAAAUCAAUCAGUUCCUCAUAUCUGGAAGAACAAAACCAAGCAUGUUCCUGUGCCAUUUGAUUACAUCAAAAGAAGGAAUCAAUACCCCUAUAUUAACAAUUUUAUAACAGUUCAAAAGUACAAGAUGUUAAUACAGACCUUUAAGAUUUUGCUCAGUGUGUGGUAUGCUCCAUGAUGGCCAAACUCAUCACUUGCCUAGAUAUCCAUGGGCCAUAGAUAAUUUUAGACUAAAACAUAACUUUUAGCACAAAUACAAAUAUUUCGUGUGCCGAUUAGAUUUUGCUUCAAUAAUAUACCUACCUCCAAAGUGUGCCUAAUGAAGUUAUAGAUUAAAUCCACUAGAUCACCCUUGGCUCCUCCAACAAAAGAAGAUGCUAGCUCCAUUAUCACAGACCUGUUAGAAAAUCAGAAUACGAAUAAAAGAACGUCAUCAAUCUAUACACUACCAGGGGAAGAGAAAAUUAUUAUUAGCAUACUUUGAGAAAGUUUUAUCCAAUCCCGAGUCCCAUAGACCAUAGUCCACAAGCAGCUCCUAAUUCAUACUCAUACUUUGGAAGUUUAUCAAAGUUGUGAAAAAAAAUUUUGGAUCAGAGUCAUGAAAAUUAGUGGUUUCUUUUGGAUCAGAGUCGUGAAAAUUGGUUGUCCUGAUUCAUUAAGAGAAAUGAGAUUUUGAUAAAAAAAAAAAAAAAAAAAGAAAACAAUUAGUCAAUUUAUUUCCCGAAGCAGACACCGUCACCGAUGCAUCCACAGUCCACUUACCGAGAAUUAUAAAGGGAAGACAAGGGACCAGAGAACAGAGCAAGUUCGUUACUUUUCAUCGCAUUUUUUAUGAUUCAAAUAUAAAGCGAAACAUAAUUUUACACUGUACCUCUGUAUACAUAUUUCUGAAGCACUUGGAUUGCCAUGUUCUUCAUCAGUUAGAUUAUCAAUAUGACUUCCCAGCAUCUCAAAUUCACCUUCGCCAUUUACAAUAUGAAACCUCUUUAGCAAUGAAGAAAAAAUAUUUUGGGUUAUGGAAGAAUCAGUUAUAGAAGCCAAGCAACCAAUUGCAUCCUGCAAAAAUGAGAGCAUAAAUAGGUGAAAUUUUGGACCUAGUUCAGACCCUUGAGAUUUGUAUUAAGUAAAAAUGUCAUGUCAGAUAAACUAACCCUGCACCUGAGUAGAACUAAGAAGGGAAAGUAGAAGAAAGUAAAAAUGUCAUGGAAAACCUUUAAAUAUGAGCACUUCUCAUGUUGUGAAUCAAUAAAUAAGUCUGCCAGAGCCUUAAGCAAAUCAUUCGAACAUAGCGCCAGCACCCUAAUGUUUUUAGUCGCUGCUUUUUUCGUAUAUGAAGAUACACUUCUGAUCCCAAGCACAGUAUCCUUAGCUUCAUUAAUAAUUGACUCAUCAAGAUUGUCUCUUGAGGUAAGAGCAUUUCUGUUUUGAUUAACAAGAACCUACAAAGGAAAAAGGAAACGAUGAAAUAUAUGACAGGAGACAUGAAUAAGACCACAAUAAGAAGCUAAAUACAUAAAUAAAUGAUUGUGAAACAAUGAUGGAGAUAAACCAUAAAUGAAAACCAAUGGCACCUCCCAGACCAAAAACAAAUAUUCACAUAUAUGUUGUAAUCAAUAUGAAGACUGAAAAAAAAAAAAAAUUACCUGUAAGGCAACAGCAAUAUUUUCAUGCAUGGAUGGGUCCUUCUUAAUAAGAGUAAUUAAGAGUUUAGCCAAAGGUCUAAAAUUUUGGCGAGUAUCAGUAGGAUAGCCACAAAAGGCAGGUAGUAAACCCCACAGUUCCUGAGCAUGAGCCUGUAGAUCUUGACCAGUUAUCGAUUUCUUAACUGAAAAUUGAAAAUGAAAUCAAAUGAAUUGAAUAGAUUGGUAAAUUAUACAUGCCAAAAUAAAUUUUAUUUAUUUAUUUAAAAAAUAAAUAAAGAGCACAGAAUGAGUGGAAAUUAAACUGCCUCCAAGCCAUGUAAGCGGGGUUCAAAUUUGUACCAUCCCAAGAGAUUUUACUACUUAAACUGAUUGGCACUCACAACAUAAAUUAUAGUUGACAAAAGUAAAAGACAAAUAUGCAAAUUUAAUACAAGAAAUGGUAAUGUAUGUAGAGAGCAGUUCUGCUUCUGAAUCCAACAGGACCAACGUAGACAGACAUGUGCACACAAAGCAAUAAAAUAAAAUAAAACCCAAAAACAAAAACUUCAAAUUUGACCAUUUAAUCCUAUGUCACAUUUCUAAAACUCAGUAUCAAACCCAGACAGUGUGUCAAACCCAGACAGACCAAGAUAUUCAAACAGGACAAAGAUAUUAUCAGUAACUGUUGAAGAAAACUAGAAAAAUAAAUGAAAAACUAUGGACUCCCAUUCAAACUGAAUAGGAAUUGAUUUGUUCUAGAAUCCAAGAACUGAUCCCCACAAUAAAAGGUGAAACUUCAACAUAUAUUAGCACAGUUCUGAAACUCCUAAUCAGCUGAAGAAAGAAGGUCAAAGUUUUCAUCUGAUGGGGCAGUCAUAGGGAUAUGCAUUCCCAUCAAUAUAUUACUAAUUACAUAGUCCUCAUCUGUGAAACUAAAUCAGAAUGAAAAUGGGAGAGAUCCAGCACAAGGAACCCACAUACAACAGAAAAAUCUAGAGUACAAUAAAAAGCAUGAUUAGAUGUUUCAACUUAACUUUUUUUAGAUAUUACAAUAAAAUUGUGUUUCCAAAGUAAUAAAUGUUUGAAAAAAAGAGACAACAAUGCCACAUCAUAUUUAUUCUUGCCAACACAAUAUCCUUGAUAAACAUUAUAGAAAGCAAGCAAUAAAUCCAACCUCCAUCAGCCUUUUUUGGCAACAGCGGGGCAAUGCCUUCGCACAAAAUCAACCAUCUUGAUUGAAAUCAAAUGUGCAUCUUAACAUAAUGAGCUUUUAAAUUUCUGAAUUUAAUAUCUAAAACUCAUAGAAAAGAUUAUUUCAAUGAUUCAGCAGGAAAUACCUAUACGACUUGCCCGCUGAAAAGUUUUUGCAAGAGGUACAAUAUGCUCCAUAUAAUACCCUAGUGAUGCUCCAAUAACAUGAUUUUUUAAUAUAGGAACCAACCAAACAUUUGAACAAGUGAAAUCAUCAGCAUUAAGGGAGAUAGGUAAAAGGGUGAGUAUCCUCUCUGGUCCCAUAGCAAUUACUGCAGAUCCAAUACAAUGCUGAAGCUGCAGUAAUAGAAAGUGAUCAAUCAAUUUCAGUAGACAUGAUUGAAAGAGUAAUUGUAUCUGGCACAAGCUAUAGAAAUAGUAACUGGACCACUUGUCACAUCUGCAGAAAACUCUAAUCCGAUAAAUUGUCUAGAUACAACAUUUUAGCUCCGUUAAUCAUAGAUUAUAAUCGUUUUCUGUCCAACACUGUAAGUAACAUUUUAAAAAGCUACAAGGUUUAAAGAAACUCCGAUUAACACUCACAUGGUUUGCGGUAGCCAUGUCCACACUAGCAAGAGUCAGCAAGUCCGCAAGUUUAAGCACAAUUCUUUUCAUAAAUAUAUAUGAUAUCUCUCCUGUAGCCCAGAAAGCAUAAUGAUGAGAAGUAGUUCUAGAUCUAUUAGUAAAUAAACACUGGUUACAAGUGAAAAAAAAAAUGGUAAGAACAUAAAUAAAUAAUUGAAAGUAAGAUCAACUCUCAAUCACCAAAAUUCCAAAAAACAAAGGGCACUAUCACAAGACAACCCACCUGACUUUAGAUAAGAUAAGCCCCAACAUCAUCAAAAUGGUUAACCCAGAAGAAAAUAAUAUUCUUUGUAAAAUAAAAUACAUAUAAUCAUUUUGAAUUCGUUAAUGAAAUGACACUUGCAGUCAUGACCUGGUAAGAGAAUUAAUUUACUGUAGCAAGGAGGCAUGAACUGUAACAAAAGGAAAAAAAUUCUUUUCACCAGAUUGAAGACAUUAAGACCCCUAAUGCACCAAUAGGAUAAACUAAAAGACCAGAAAUAAGCAUUAAAUCAAAAAAAAAAAAAAUUCAGAUGACCGAUUCUCAACAUCCCAAUUGCCCAGCCAAAAAAUAAAAAAUUUGGUUCAUGGACUCAAUCAAACAAAUAGAAUGUCAGAACUCACAAGAAUAGUAUGGCAGUGUGUUCUGUACUAAAGCAUAUGGUCAUUAGUAAACAGCAUGAAUGAAGUAAACAAAAUAAUCUAGAAAAUCUAUCGAACGAAGUACAUGCAGCAAAUCAACAAAGUCCACUUACCAAGUUUGAGAAACAAAAGUGAUAUGACGGCCAAAAUAUGCUCGUUUGGAAUACUAUCAAAACCAAUGGCAUCCUCAAAGAUAGCACAUAUAGAUUUAAUUGCUCUAGCUUCAUCAUUCUCUUGAUCUCCAUCUUCAAAUGAUAGAAUUUCAUUAGUUUUUACAUCUGCAAGUUGGCUGAUCAACUCCUUCACAAAAGCUGAAGCCUGUAAUGUGAUGCUAGCCUCAGAAGUCAAAAGACCUAGAUCAGAUAAUUUGCUUAGCGUCAUUUAUUUUUAAACAUUCCUAAGGAAAUAACAGCAGCACCAGAGAAGUAUCGUUCAUUUCUCGAAUGAUUAAAUGGUGCCAUGAUAACGUGCAUGUAUAGAUAAUGUCGAACCUCGACUCAAGAGUAUAUGCACGUCAAGUUAGCACUCAGCCCAUUGUUGGAUCAAGUGGUCUCAUUAUUAACAUACUUCUCAGAUGGACCAACCAGUCCAAAACCAAAUAAUAUAUUAACUUCAAAGUAGUAAAUGAUAAUAAAAGAAAUACUACAAAGUAAAGCCAAUAACAAGUUUCAUGCAGACUGAACGACAAAAAACAAUACAUCAACAAAUUAUUUAGUUGAAAUAAAUAAAUAAAAAAAAUUUGAAAGCAUGCAUAAUAGUGCCAAGUACAUAAACUGCAAAAACAAGAUAAAAGCAGGUAAGAAUCACUUACAGCAACCAAAUGCAAGAGAACUACUAUUCCAAGCAUAGCAAAUUUACAAUGCACAAAAAAUUGACAGUGUUUAACAUAGAGCCUUUCUCAUAUCUAAAUCCAGAGAUAAUGAAAAAUACCUGCUAGAGCACCAAAAACUAGAGGAACAUUCUUAGUCCACAAUGAUCUUGUUUCCCCAUUCAGAAGCUUCUCCAUACAGCUUUUUAACAAUAUUGUUGCAGUCAUGACAGUGUCCACAGGGUUCCUCUUUUUUAAAGAUACAUAUGAAGCAAGAGAAACUAUAGUGUUCUCCAUCUCUGGAAUAACAACUUCAACCCUUGAAGUUUCAACAAAAGCUUCAAUGCCUUUAAAAAUGUGCCUUGUAAGUGGUGAGAACUCAGAAGUCAUAAGUUUGCAAAGCUCUGAUAAAAUCUUCAAACGGACUUUGACAGAGAGAUGAGGAACAAUAAGAUUAACUACAUUUAACAUGUAGAGAACCUCCAGAUGAUCAGGCUUCAACAACGUUUCAUCCUUUGAUCCAUCUACAGUUCCUGACGUACGUAAUGUGAUUGCCAGAGGAAUGUACUUUUCAAACAAGGAAUUUAUCAGCUUGCUUGCUGCCUUGAUCACAGUUGAAGACUGAAAAGACUUGAGAACUUUUUCUAAACAAUCUUGAGCACAUCUUCUGACCUACAGCAAGAGAGAAAAAAAAAAUCAUAAAGAACCAUAAUCAUUAACUCAAAUUGAUUUACCAUCAUAUAUGAAAUCGCCAAAUCCCCCUUGAGUAAAUAUUAUGUAAAUAACUCUAAAGUCAAAUUUGAGUCCAGAUUUAACCACUACAAUAUGAUUUGCAAUCAAUUUAAACACGUACUGGUCACAAUAUCAGCAUGCACCAAAGUUUUAUACCUCAAGUCAAUCAAAGCUAAUGGCAGCCAAAGCAUAAGUUUAACAAACCCAAUAGGCCAACAUGUAGCCCCUACCAAAGUAAACAUAAUUAUACAUCUUAGGAUAAAAUAAUCUUGCUUAACCACAUACCACUCCCAAAAUUGAGAACAUUCUGGAUAAGCAUUGGUGACAUUGAAUAGACCAAUGCAGUAACACCACGCUCAGCAUCAUCAAAAUGAUCAUGUUUGGUUUAAUAAUUUGAUACAAAGUAUAUCUUCAAAUCAAGGGUAAUGCUAUCACUCCAGGCCAGAAAUACUAUCCUAACAGUGACUUUUAACCAUGUUAUGAGUUCUGCAUUCCGUGUUAAAAGUUUAAACUAUUACAUUACAACUCACAUAACUAAUCAUUACAAAUUUCACGUCAAGUUCACCACAAUUUGCUGAGUUCCGAAAAAACAAAUUUACCCUGAUAACAUUACCACAGAUUGAAAGUCAUCACAAUUUAUCAAUAGAUUUUUAAAAGAAAUUCUUACCUUGGGACGCUUAUCAAUAGAGAACUUAAGCAAGGUCUCGAACCCCAAUUUAACCGAGCCCCAAUCCUCCAAAUCACAAAAACUAACCAACAAAACUCCCAAACACUUGACCACGCACUUAACGGUCGCCACUCCCAGCGACCCAUCUCUCUCUAAAACCCCCACCAACAAUUCCACCGCCACGCUCGCCUUUGAUUCAGCAAUUCCCUGCUCCGGAACCAGGGCCACCGCGAUCGACAAAAACGUCAAGAGAGCAGAAACCUCAGUAGAGUCGAGGGUUGCAGAUUCCAAGGAGGAAAUCGCAGCGGCGAAAUAGGCGGAGGCAAUCAGAGGCAAGGACUCGGAAGUAAGGAUGGAGCGCAUGGCGGCGGCGGUUGCGACGAGGUGGCGGUGCUGGGGAGCGGCGGAGGUGGCGUAACGGUCCAUGAGUUGUUGGCAGAUGUCUGUGUCGGCUUUGAAUUGGAGUUUUUCAUUUUCGGUUUCUGUUUCCGUGGUGAGCUCAUUGGAUUGGUCCAUUGUGAAUUGGCAAAUCAGGGUUUAGGGUUUGAGGUAUUAAAGAUUAAAGAUGAAGAAAGGGUUUAAUCUUUGAAUGUUGUGAAUGGUGAAGGAGAUGAAUGCAUAAGCGUACUUGGGCUUGGGCCGAUUCUUUGAGAGCUAUGGCCCAACGUAAUGGACUACCCUUGCCUGCUACUGGGCCUUCUUUGCUGAAGGAAUAGAAUUUAUUUAAGCGCGUUUAUUUUUUGGAUUGAAAAAUCAGAUAUUAAAAACAUUUACUUUACAAAAUGAGAAUAUAAAAUGGAAUCGAAAUUAUGGGAACCACUCGAAUUUAGAAUGUGAAAUGAGAGAUUGAUUACCAAAGGAGGGUGGGAAUCAAUCUCUCAGUCUCUAGAUUGACUAUUUUACUCCCAACCAUAUCAAAAAUAUUGAUUUUGUCUUAAGUUGAAAAAAUUAUUAUGAUUAAUUAAUAUAUUAAUUAUUAUUAUUAUUAAUGAUAAAAAAUUUUACAAUUGAUUAAUAUAUUAAUUAUUAUUAACAAUAAUUAUUGAUAAUAAUAAUUUUUUAAUAAAUAAUCACAAUAAUUAAAUUACAAAAUAAUAAUUAUGACAAUAGUUCAUUAAAUACUUUUUAAUAAUUUACUACAAUCUAACUUAUUCUGAUUCUCAUUCUUCAUUCUCAUUCCAGUCUAUUCCGAUUUUAAUUCUAACCUAUUUCGAUUCCCGUCUAUAAACGCAAUAUUAAAUCUAAGAGUUCACAUAACACAUUAUCAUAGAAAACCAUACAACAUCAUAGAAAAACCUCUUCCUGAAUGUUAAGGGAAUAUUUUUGUAUGUGAUAAAUUUAGAAAACUGUCAAAACUGGCAAAAAGGCACGUGUGAUAAAUUCAGAAACAUAGUUGCACAGGGCUUUAAUUAAUAGGUCUUCCUAUCAUGCAUUUGGUGUAUUCAUGAUUAAUUUUGACAUGACAUGUAGCCAAUUAAAUUGUUACAUGUGUGCAAUAAUGAUGUUAAAGUAACAUACUAUUCUGAUUGAAUUCACAACAAUACGUCUUUGUGUGUUAGUGUUCCAAGUUGCUUACAUUUUGUCACAAGUUCUGUAAUUGGUCUCUUAUUAUCACAAUUGUUGCUCAUUAAUAUUCCUAAUAAUAUACCCAUGUCACAAGUACUGUAGUUAGGCUAUUGUUGUAUUGACUACUAAACACUAAAUUUUUAGUUUCAGUGUUUCACCACAUAACACCAAAAAGUUUUCAAAGGUACUCACAUUAUCACCAAUACUGUACGCAUAAUAGUUUCUACCAUGCCACCGAGAAACUACUCUUAACCCAUCCCCAAUCAAUUGAUCCACAUUGUAGAAACUCAUUCACCAUUUAAAAAUUUGUAUUCACUCUACUACUGUUCAAACCCCAUUUAUUGAGCCAUUAUGGUAUUCAUGUCGUGUUGCCAUCUCAUUGUAGCUUCUACCGUUCAAAUCUCAUUGCCAUUUUAUACUACCAAAUCUCUUCGUCAUAUGCCAAGAAAAUUGUGGCAUAUAUUUUUUUGUUGUAUGUUAUGAAAUUAAUUUAAAAAAUAAGAGUGUCUGAGCAUUUUUUAUGGUUGUAGCAAAUAUUUAUUUUGUCUUAAUUUUUUAAUGUUAUUAUAUGUUGGUUUGGCUUAAUUAGUUAUGAAUAACUAUGUUUUGUGUUAUUUUUAAGGUAGCAGCUUUGAAAUUCCCUAAAUUGAACCAUAAAUGAAUCUUAUGCUAUACAAUCCGUUCACGUUGUUGGAUCCAUCUGCAAUAAUCUUUAUCAUCUAGUGCUAAUGGACUCCAUGCUGUCAAUAAUGUCCCUUUUCAUAAUUGAGAUCUAAAUGGUCAUUUUCUUCAGCUGAAAUUAUUUGGCAACAGUUAUUAGUUUGAUGCCUGAAGCUUGACCUGUUUAAUUUUGAGGUUUUCUCGAUUGAUUUCUGAAAGGAUUUUUUCUUUGCAAUGCAUUUGUGUUGUGAUUGAUGCAUGUGAAUUUUAAGGUGUUAUGUUGUUUAGUCUGUUGGGUCCUUCGGAUAAAUAAUAUUGUCCAAUUGCUAUUUGGUUCUAUUUCCUUUUUUCUUCCUCCCCCCAAAAUACGUGCUAAAGUUGUUUCUCAUGCAUCUAUAGAGAUAUUGUUAUUGUAACAGAAAAUGAAAAUAUUGUAUUUGGGCUAAUGGAACUUAAAAUUAUUUUAUCAUGAUUUUAUUUUGGUGUUUUUCCUCCAUUUGGACAUUGUUUUUUGUUGUAUAAAUGCCAAAUGUUUUGCAAUUCAUAUAAAGUUCAUUUUUUGAAAUUGUGUGAUUGUAAUUCCAGGUCAUCUUAAUGGCUCACCAUGAAUAUAUGUCUCUCCAAGAACAACUAAUUUUCAUGGUUCACAAGUUGAUGGUUCAAUUGAGAGACUGAUAUUUGUUGUGAGAACACAACAAUUUCUAGAACUGAGUAACUUCAUGAACAUUAAACAUUGAUUCCACAAUCCAUAGAGAGCACAAAAGACCACACAUAAGAUUUCGGUUAAGUGCAUACAUAAUCCAAUAAACUUGCAAUUGAGAUAUAAGUUAAAAUAUGGAAACAUGAUUUUAAAGCAGAAAAUCUAAAUUAUACUGAAAUCCAACCAUAAAGCCAUUCUUUUUUACAGUUCCAUUAAGCAUAUGCCAUCUACAUAUCUGCCUCAAUCCUCCGCGUAUUACACCUCCAUAUUCACAUAUGAAAUUAAAGGGCAUGUCAAAUAUUAACUAAUCAAUUAUUUUUAGAACAUAGGGUCUGUAAUCUCCUUACUCAUAACGUUGUUGUAGGACAUUAAAUUCGAUCUGCAUAAAUCUAUAAUGAUUAAGGCUUAUGUUCACAUUUCUCCUAUUAACAUAGAAGCCAUGGUAGUGCAUUAAGAAUCAAGACAUUAGCACAUACAGUGGGUGUACGAAAGCCAAAAUGUCAUCAUCAAUAAAUGACAUUAAAGCUAUAUCAUAAAUGGUGAUAAUUUUGUUGACAAUAUUUAUCCUCCCAGCGACGCAAUGUACCCCAUGUAUGUUUACUAGCAUAUAUAUCUGCAUAGAGGAAAUUUGAGUUGAUUACCCAAGACAAAUUGAUUAUAAUGUUCCUAAAAUAAUUGAAAUAUAAUACUCAUGCCUCAUCGAUGUUUGCCUAUACUAUUUUGCCUUCUACAAAUCCUUUUAUGAUGCCUUCAUCAAAGCAACCUUCAUAUGACAUCAGUGACAGUCUACGAUGAUAAACCCAAAUUUCUUCCGUAAGAGCUUGAAGAAACAUGAAUAUUAUAAUGUAAAUUACUAUACUAGUUUAUGCAAAUCUGUAUAACAUUUAACAACACUUUGCUACAUUGUUAUUAACCAUACUCAAAUUUCUAGGUCAAUACACCGCAUUUAUUUCCCACAUUUUCAGGAUACAUCAUUAUAUGGUAGUGAAUGCUAUUGAUGUAGAUGGACAUAUACUACAUAUGAUAACAAUCCAAUUACAUAGUUAGUUUACUAAUAGAAGAUAAUACUAUAAAUCAAAUUGUGUGCCCUAUUUACAAGAUUUUUUUUUUUUAAAAAUAAUUACCUCCCCUUUAAUCUAUUUAUUGCCUACUACCAUCUGUAACCAGUCAGGAAACAUCCUAAUUUUGAUAUUCCAAAAUUUUUUAACUUUUAUGAUGUUGGCAGGGGUACUUUUAAUCCACCCAUACAUUCCUUCUCUAAUCUUUGUAUUAAGUGGAUUAUUGAUAUUAACUUCAUCAUCCAAGUCUGCAUGGUUCAAUAAUGACUCAAUUGAGUCAACUUCAUUCGUCUUUAUGGUUUUCUCUCCUAUAGUUUUCUCUCUUACUGAUUCAACAUAUGUAUUUGCAAAAGCAUCCAAACUCCCUUUAAUAUAACACUUUUGAACCUUGCGAAAGUAUGAUAUUCCCACCAUAGGCAAAUUGCGUGGAGGCGUUUGGAAAACUUCUUUAUUAAUGUCAACUGGGCAAAAAUCAAUCUUGAAGUGCCCAACAAUCCACACACAUGUAUUUUAUUACUGAGUCAAAAUAUUUAUGAAGUUAUAGCACAAAAUUAAAUUGAAAACAUUGUAUAAAAAAUUAUAAAGGUUUAUAAAUUAUAAAAAAUAAUAAAUAUCAAAUUGUUUGGGAUAUAGCAUAAAAUUUCUCACUGGCCUCCAAUUAAUUUGUCCCAUCAUCAUCUCUCUUAAUAGGUUCUAGCUUCACUUUCUUUGGCUUGCUUAUCUCCUCUAUAGUAAUCGUAUGCCGCAACUUCAUUUCCCUCCUCAUCUCAACCUUGAUUUAAUUCUUCAAAUCUUCCAACUCACUUUUUAUACUUCUAACAACUGCUUCAAAAAUAUUUUCGUUGUUCUUAUCAAUGCUAAUAGUGGGCAUGAGGACAUCAUUGUUUUCCUCUUAUAAAAAAGAUGUAUACAUAAUCAACUUCUUUACAAACAAAUUUACUUUAGUAACAUAAUUUUUUCCCACCGAGUACAAAGAUUUAAACUUAUGUUGCAUAAUCAUAAUCAUUACAACUUAUAUAAACUUAGCAGGUAAAUUGUUGUAAAAAAGAUACCAUAAAUAUUCUUACUUUUUAGGUUGCGGUUGUUUCAUGAUUGAAGUUUAUGUUUGAUACUUUUCUGUUAGACUUUAUGAAUAUCAAUGAACUGAUAGAAUAUUUUGUCGAACUGAUACACCAACAAGUUUUACCAAUGUUCAAUUUCGACCUCUCUGUUUUCAAGCAUUAAUAGCAUCAAAGAUUUGUCAUUGAACAACAAGAAUUUAAUAAGUUGUUGUUCACUUGUCUAUGCGAAAGAAGACCACGUGUUCUCCAUCUCAGUAUACAUGAAAUGUCUUGAUCAUUCUGGGGAACUGCAUAGAGGUUGCCAACCAUUGGGAUGCUCUCAAACAUACACACCUACAACUUAACAUUUACUAUAAGCAACAAGAUGCAAUGGUGUAUUGUACAUUUCACAAAGUAUGGUCAUUUUAAAAUAAUAUCAUCACUUGAUCUUACCAUAAGAGCAAAUGCAAAUCCACCAUGCUGUAAUUGUCUUCUGUAUACACUUUAUUUGAGAUCUUUCCGUAGAUUAAAUUUUGCACCUUCUUAGACAUUACCUUGAUAAUAGAGUUGUAAGUUUCAAUACAUAACACAGUCCCUAAAGGGUACGCAUUGAACUCAUCAAGGUUGUCUACAAGCAAACCCCUGGUGUAAAAAUCUAACAAACCGACCUCUAAUGUAAUACCAAAGCUCCUAUACGUAACCAUGAACCUCCAUCUCAUACAUUAAUACAUUAUUAACCAAGUGCAACUAAAAAAUCAAUUUAUGCAUGUCUAAAAAAUAACCCAAAGUUGUUUUACGAAACCUUUUUUUUGCUUCAGCAUCAGCAGCUGGUUAAUUAGCUCAAUAGCCCUCAUUUUAAGGUAUGCUGACACAUAGGCAUGUUGAAUCUCCUCCACCCUAGUUCUUGAACUAGGUAAUCACUUUUAUAUUCUCCAGGGCACUGCAUGGAUAUAUACAAGUAUAUUAAAAUGAUUGUUAUUGGUUAAUGAUUGUUAUAAUAUGAUUUUUUUAUGUAACUUAUAAAAAAAGCAAUUUUUUUAUGCACUUAGUUCUUCAAGUAAACCGGUCGUAAAAAAUCCAUGUUAAACACUAGGGUUUACUACCAAAUGCAGUCAAACAAGUGCUAAUUGGUAAGCAUACCACUCUUCACCACUAGGCAAUAACGUCUUAAACUACUUCGUUGAAGAUAUGGAGAAAGAAAAAUAUUAAAUUUCUAGAUUAUCAUACCUUUCUAUAGUGACCAAAUGCUCCAAGUACUGGGAAAGCCAUAAAUAUUUGUUACAUGCAAAGGUGAGGUAACAAUAUUAAAAAAGCAACAGACCUCAUAUAGAUGAACGACAUACUUUUAGGAUGCAAGGACGAAGUAUCUAUAGAAUAUAUAUUGAAUGUGCAGGAAUGUUCAGAGAGUAGAGUUCACUUAUUGAUCGAGUCUCAGCAAGUUAGUUACCUGGUUUGGUAUAUUUUUCCAGUUAAGUUAAAUUUCAUUAGGUACCUCUCUUUAUUCAUUACACACUUUAUAAUUUGAUAUGAUCAGGUUGGUUUGAUACAGCCAGUUGUUUACUUUGAUUUUUGAUUUUUUGCUUUUUCUAAAAUCUAUUUCGGCAAUAGAGUUGCAGUACUGAUUCUGAAGGGAAAAAAUAUUUUCUUGGUUAUGAUUAUGGACAAAAGAUAUUAUGUAUUUGGUUCAUUAACAAAUGCAUGAUAAGUCCAACUCUUAAUUAGAGCAAGAGAUAUUUAUAAUACAUUCUUCAUUUGUUGGCGUAUAAAUGACUAAAUAAUGGGUAUCAUUUGGUAUAUAUCAUAUAUACCUGGUUUAAUGGCACAGAUUCAGCAAAUAGAAGGAAAAGAAUAGGUUAAAAUAAAUUAAGGAUGAAUAAUGUGUUUAGUGAUAACAAUUCUUAUACAUGUCAAUAUCAAGGGUUAAGUGAAGGCUGUUAUUCUCUAUUUUGUACAUAAAUUAAAAGACAAUUACCACAUCAAAAUUUAAUGAAACCAUAGAUAGUUUCAAAUUACAUGAGUUGAUAAUUAAUAUUUCUAUAAACCUACAUGUCAUUGAGGAGAGAACUGAAAUAUUAACAACAACCAAUACUAGUGACAAUUCCCAUAUGUAUCAAAACGUAAAUCUACAACAAUCUCAAUCAAAUAACCAUUAAAAUUUAUAAUUUGCUCAAAUUAUACCACACCUUUUCUAUUGUAUAAGUUUCUUAUUCAUACAAUAUACAGACCUUAGAACAACGAGAAAUCUUCAAUAUAAACUUUUUCUAAAAAUUAGUGCCUUGCAUGAAAUGACUCAAGUUACUACCUUUGAUCUUGCAUAUUGUCUAGGUCAUAUAUGAACAUAGUAUUAUUGACAAAUAGUUCAAAAUUGUCACAUUAAAAUUACUAUGUAAAAUACUCACCAAAAAUUGCGAAGGCAAGUAUUAGUUCACUUUUGAAUUUGGCAAAUUGCAUUUCUCUUAGUAUGUUUUAGUCAUGGUUGCAAUAAUCUACAACAUAAAUUUUAUAAAAGAUACUUGAGAUGUCAUAUGUAUAAUAGAAGGAUAACAGAUAGAAUACACCUCGUUGUGAAUCCACCUCAUCGGGUUUAAAAAUAACAUUACAACUUGACACACAAAAUUCAUCUCUAAUUCAACAAGCCUCUCCCUAAAUAUACUAAAUGGACCACUUUUUUAACUCAUUUUCUGAAUAAUAUUAUUGAUCUUGCACAUUACUAAAAAACAAAGUUAUUAAUAAAAGAUACAAGACAAAAUGUUGAAAAUUUUCACUCUUUGUCCAGAUUAUUGUCCAAUGCAUAUGUAAAAUAUGCAAUUCGUUGUCUGAUAAUAGUGUUGUCACCACAAAUGGUCUGGUUCUAUAAAGUCCAGACGAUGCAAUAAAGUGCACUUCCUCUAAACGUGACAUUGCUAAGACUUUAGGAAAAUUUACUUCAAAACUCCUAUCAAUACUAUUUACAGGCGAGUCCAGCAGAGUAUUGAUUUGUGAAAUAUUAUCUUUAACCCAAUGGUAAAUUAUAAAACAAACACUGACUUACUAUAGGGUCCAUCUCAUUUUAGUGGACCAAAAUGCCCAAAGUCCAAAUAGGUUUACUUGAUGUUAAUUAUUAUAAAGUUUUGAACUUAGGAGAAAUUAACCAAAAGAAAAUAUAUAAAAACAAGUGAAAGCCACUACCCUAGAUAAUGUGUUCGUGUAGAAGAAGCGGCAAGAGAGAGAAAGGACAAUGGAGGUUUUUAAUUUAGAAAUAGUGAUUUCAAUCUUUGAUUGGACGAUUGGAAAAUAAUUUUAACUCUGUUUUCUCCUAAAUUUUAAGGGUAAGUUUCUGGCAUUGCCUCUACAAUCUACUGAUCUUGAUUUUUAUUUUAUCCUCUUGUUUGCUAUUAUUUGAGAUACCCAUUUGUUAGAAAGAUAUGUAUUAUACUGUUACAUUAAGUUAAGAAUAUUGAGAUUCCUGAUUUUAUUAGCCUAUAGUAUUAUCUACAUAAAUAUUUGUUCUAUAACCCCAUUAAUAUAGUGAAAGAUUUUAUCGGAAUACGGUCAUGUGGUUUUUCAUACUUUGAGUUUUUCACAUAAAAAUAUGUAUCUUUUAUGAUUUUUUUUUGUUUUGGAUUGUGUUGAUUUAUUUUCUACCUAUUUAUUUGUGGUACACAUCCUAUUUUAAUAACAGAAAGAAGGAAAGAGUUUUGUUUCCGCUUAAUUUGCAGCUGCUUGUGAGAGUCCCUUAUAAACACUUGAGAGUGUUUGGUUGUAGAGUAUAUGUUCACAUCCCUAAAGAUGAGAGAUCGAAGCUUGAUGAUAAAGCUAAAUAAUGCAUUUUCUUAGGUUAUGGGCAUGAAGAAUUUGGGUACAAAUUAUAGGAUUCAGUGGCAAGAAAAUUGAUUAGAAUUAGAGAUGUUGUGUUUCAUGAAGAUUAAAUAGUUGGUGAUACAUAAAAGAGUGAUGAAUCUCAAUCAUCUCUAGAGAUUUCUAUUAUUCUAACUCUAGUUUCUCCACCUGUAGUUUAUUAUAAUCAUGAGGGGGCUAGAGAUGAUAAUAAUGAUGGUCCAGCAAAACUAGUUGAGCAAGUACCUCCAGAACCACAUGUACUACCAGUUGAGCCAGAAUUAAGAAGAUCCACUAAAGAACGGUGAUCUUCACUAGAUAUCCUCCACAAGAGUAUGUAAUGUUUACAGAUGGAGGGGACUGAGAAUGUUUUGAAGAAGUUAUGUCUCAUUAGCAUAAAAAUGAGUGGUUUAAAGCUAUGCAAAAGAAGAUGAAAUUGUUGAAUGAAUGUUGUGCAAAUUUUAUUGAACUCGCAAGUGCACGAAUCUAUUGUAAAAUAGAUUAAUGGUGACGAGUGUCGAUCCCACGAGGAGGUGGAUUUUAAUUAUAUGUAGAAUUAAUUUUGUAUGAGGGUAAUUGGAUUUGUGGUGGAAAUGAUUUGGAAUAUUCUAAAACUUAAAUUAAAAUGGCGAGAAUAAAUUGAAGAGAAAUCUAUUGAAAUGAAGCACUUGGGUAUCUGGAUCCGUAUCAACAUGCACCAUGGGAUAAAUAUUCCUUAUUAGUGCCAAUUAAAUCAUGAGGGGGGUAUCCACGCCUCAUGACCCACACUCUAAUCAAUAUGGUAUUAAGGUCUUAUCGUGUCAAUUAAUAAUAACCUUGUACUAGAGAGUCGGUGAAACUAAUGCGGUAUCUAGACAAGAUUAUUAUUAUUUGUCGACGAAAAGUCAAAUCAUCCACAAAAAUUAGAGGGGAAGAGAAAGUAAAUUUACCAAAUAAAGCCCAUGACACAUGUUGAGACUUCACCUUCAACCCAAGCUUGAAAGAAAAUUAGCUACUCAUAAUUGAACUAGGGGUAAAAUAGAAAUUUAUUAAAAUACAUAGAAAAUACAAGAUGGAGAAGCAAUUACAGAAACUGGAGUCCAAAAAUGGAUUCAGAGAUAUCAAAUUAGGGGGGGAGAGCCCCCAUUUUAUAGAUACAUUGAGUAAAUCAUGGCCAUCGGAUCAAAAACAUUUCGGACGCUCAGGAUUGCACCACGUCAUCAGUCAACAGUACGCGGUUUGAACAGUAACACAGUUUGACCACGCGGUUUGAACAGUAACACGAUUUGAUUGAAAAUAAUCAUGUGUAAUGCAUGUACCGUACGCGAGAUUUUUGGUCUACUGAUAUGCUGCCACGUCAUCGAUCAACAGUGCAUAAAAAUUUUAGUCCAACAGGAUCGUGACACCUCAUCAGUCAAUGCCACAUCAUCGGUCAAUGUCACGUCAUCGAUCCGUCUAUGUGAACAGUGUCGUGAANNNNNNNNNNNNNNNNNNNNNNNNNNNNNNNNNNNNNNNNNNNNNNNNNNNNNNNNNNNNNNNNNNNNNNNNNNNNNNNNNNNNNNNNNNNNNNNAUCGGUCAAUGUCACGUCAUCGAUCCGUCUAUGUGAACAGUGUCGUGAACAGUAACGUAGACAGUACCGUACAUGUGAAUAGUGCUAUUUUUCCUUUUAGGCUCCUCUUAAGGUUUUCGACCGUCCUGAGUUCAAAAGUGAACUACCUAAUUAAUGAAACCCCUCUAUGUGGUUUAUGAUUUUGCCCUUCAAUAAAAUUGCAUCAAAUGACAAAAAUAUAACUAAUUCCACACAUUAAACAAAAAUAAUUUUCUUUUGCCAAAAACUCGAUACACUCAUACAUGUAAGAUUUUCACCAAACCUUAAAUCGCUUGAACCCUUAAUUAGGCCCUAGCAAAUAAAACGAAAACAAAAUUCAAAUCCAAAAUGAUUUUUUUUUUUAAACACUCGUGUUUAUUCAAUCAGACUAAUGAUAACAAUCAAAUAAAAAUAUAAACAUUAUCUCUAGUCUAAAGAAACAUCACACCCACAUCAACCAUCUACAUGAAUCAGCCUAGUAGACUUUGUCAUACCUACUUUCAAGAAUGACAUGUCAAACCCCAAAAUCUCACUGAAGGUAGUGACACUCUCACAAAGAAAAUUGAACCUAAUAAAAAUAGUCACUCCAAUGAAUGGUAAUUGAGAGAAAAUAAUAAAGAAGUGAUAUCACAUGCUCUCACCAAGAUGAAAGAAAUAUGCCCUCAGUUUAGAAAUAAUACGAUUUCAAGUCAAAUAAAAAUGCUAGUCAACCCAAUUUUGUUUUUUUUUAUGCAUCACUACAUCUUUUUAGCCCAUAUAACUAGCUUCUACUUCAGACUAUAGUUCCCUAAAAUNNNNNNNNNNNNNNNNNNNNNNNNNNNNNNNNNNNNNNNNNNNNNNNNNNNNNNNNNNNNNNNNNNNNNNNNNNNNNNNNNNNNNNNNNNNNNNNNNNNNNNNNNNNNNNNNNNNNNNNNNNNNNNNNNNNNNNNNNNNNNNNNNNNNNNNNNNNNNNNNNNNNNNNNNNNNNNNNNNNNNNNNNNNNNNNNNNNNNNNNNNNNNNNNNNNNNNNNNNNNNNNNNNNNNNNNNNNNNNNNNNNNNNNNNNNNNNNNNNNNNNNNNNNNNNNNNNNNNNNNNNNNNNNNNNNNNNNNNNNNNNNNNNNNNNNNNNNNNNNNNNNNNNNNNNNNNNNNNNNNNNNNNNNNNNNNNNNNNNNNNNNNNNNNNNNNNNNNNNNNNNNNNNNNNNNNNNNNNNNNNNNNNNNNNNNNNNNNNNNNNNNNNNNNNNNNNNNNNNNNNNNNNNNNNNNNNNNNNNNNNNNNNNNNNNNNNNNNNNNNNNNNNNNNNNNNNNNNNNNNNNNNNNNNNNNNNNNNNNNNNNNNNNNNNNNNNNNNNNNNNNNNNNNNNNNNNNNNNNNNNNNNNNNNNNNNNNNNNNNNNNNNNNNNNNNNNNNNNNNNNNNNNNNNNNNNNNNNNNNNNNNNNNNNNNNNNNNNNNNNNNNNNNNNNNNNNNNNNNNNNNNNNNNNNNNNNNNNNNNNNNNNNNNNNNNNNNNNNNNNNNNNNNNNNNNNNNNNNNNNNNNNNNNNNNNNNNNNNNNNNNNNNNNNNNNNNNNNNNNNNNNNNNNNNNNNNNNNNNNNNNNNNNNNNNNNNNNNNNNNNNNNNNNNNNNNNNNNNNNNNNNNNNNNNNNNNNNNNNNNNNUUUUUUUAAACACUCGUGUUUAUUCAAUCAGACUAAUGAUAACAAUCAAAUAAAAAUAUAAACAUUAUCUCUAGUCUAAAGAAACAUCACACCCACAUCAACCAUCUACAUGAAUCAGCCUAGUAGACUUUGUCAUACCUACUUUCAAGAAUGACAUGUCAAACCCCAAAAUCUCACUGAAGGUAGUGACACUCUCACAAAGAAAAUUGAACCUAAUAAAAAUAGUCACUCCAAUGAAUGGUAAUUGAGAGAAAAUAAUAAAGAAGUGAUAUCACAUGCUCUCACCAAGAUGAAAGAAAUAUGCCCUCAGUUUAGAAAUAAUACGAUUUCAAGUCAAAUAAAAAUGCUAGUCAACCCAAUUUUGUUUUUUUUUAUGCAUCACUACAUCUUUUUAGCCCAUAUAACUAGCUUCUACUUCAGACUAUAGUUCCUUAAAAUCAAGAAGGACUUUUAUUAGGACGUAACGUAGGCUAGGGACAUGGCUAACAAAAGAGGGGAAAUAAGGAAAACAAAGUGUAUGUUUGAGAAAAAUGUAGAUUUUUUUUUUUUGGAAGUUGCAAGGUGGAUUUCACCUAUUAUUGUUAUUUUUAUUUUUGAAACAACAAUUUUUUUUUUUUUUGGCAUAACUUCACUUAACAGAAUAAUUAUUUACAUUUUUCUCAAACAUAAAUAGGUGAUGGAACUUGUAAGAUAUCGGGUAAUACUCCAAAUCGGACUGGGUCAAGAUGAUAAGUUUGACAAAGAAAAUGUUUUUUUUUAAAGGCUCAAAAGGGUUAACUAUGGAUAUUUCAUAAAAUGGAUGGCUAGAAAGGCUCAAACGGAUCAAAGAUGGUCUUUCCAUCGUCUUUUAGGGCUCUAAAUAAUCUUCCAUAUCUACUAGUUAGAUGGGCCUCCAAAUGUAGCAACACAUAUUUUUUCUUAUUAUUUUUUUUAAUUUUACAAUUUUUUUUUAAGGGUUAACUCAAAAGAAAUCUAGAAAUCGUGAAUAAAAUAAUAAACUGCUAAGCUGUAUAAAGAAUGGGCAAAAGGGUUACUCUCCAAGAAAAAUGAUAGGCUCAAGAACUCAAUUGGUACUUAUUAUGACAUGUUCAUUCCUUCAAGCAACUCAUUUUUGUCUCCGACAUCAACAUGCAGAGUAGCAAACAUAGCGUAACAUCAAUUAAGACCAAAGAUAAUACAAAUACUAAAAUUUGAAAUUAAUCAUGUCAUCCAAUGUUAAAACAAAUCACACAAUUUUUUUUUUCCAAGGCGGAUGUACGGUACAGCAGAAAAUGAAUAUCAAAGCUUAAUAAAGAAAAAGAAAAUAUCUGAAUUUUUUUUUUGUUUUUUGUUUUCAAACGAUGAAGAUGCAUUUCUAGAGUCACUACACUCCAUAUUCAGCCAUCUUCAACACAAAAAGUUAGCAAUAGUUAGUUUCUACAACAAAAAAAUCAGUAAAAACUUAACCAAGAUUCCACAAUUGUCGAUUAUUCCCUCCCCCCAACCGGAACGAAACAUUGUCCUCAAUGUUUUAAAGGAAAGAAGUAGAGUUUAGAAGACAUCACCUGGGUGGUGCAACACAGAAGGAAAUAUUUACAGGCAGAGAGUUAAAUCUAAUUUGUACUUCUUACUGCUGCUACUGUUACCAUCAUUAUUUGGAUGCUCCAACACAAAGGUCCAGGGGUCUGGCUCCGGUCUAUAAGCUUGUAACAGAUCAAGUAGCUCAUUAGCAGUGUGAGCACAAAUAAAAAGAUUUUUCGCUGUGGAAGAAAUGAAAUAGUUUUUUAUUGCAUGGUUAAGAAAUGCGAUAAAGCCAUCAUAAAAAUUAUUGACAUUUAACAAACCGAUGAGUUUUUAGUGAAUGUGCAGAUGGGCCCAAGAUGUUAGUGUGAUAAGUGUCUCUAGUGUUGCAAGAUCUCCUGGAAGGAAAAUAAAAGCAUCAGCAUGAUUAAGCAUUUCAAGAUGCUAGUGUGAUAAGCAGAUGGGCCCAAGAUGCUAGUGUGAUAAGUGCCUCUAGUGUUGUAAGAUAUCCUGGAAGGAAAAUAAAAACAUCAGCAUGAUUAAGCAUUUAAGUUAUUCUUGCUUGCAUACCUGAGUCGACUAACUCUUCUCCAGUCGAUGAGUCAGACAAACUGCCUGAAGGUUUUAGGACACUUGGGAUGAUGCCUAGCACUUGGCUUCCUCUGACAAAAGCAGCUUCUGAGACCAACUUUGAUAACACUCGGUUACCUCCUCCAUACACCAAGUGUAAUUUUCUCUCUACUAUAUUUCUACCAAGAUCUAUGGCUGCCUCAACGAACUCUUUAUGUUUGCCAUAGUUAAAUCCAGAAAGCACACAAAUGUUCUUGAAUUGUCUAUUGGGAGUAGUUGCCAUUGAGAUACUUCUCAAAAACAAUUUGUGAGUGCUUGAAAAAAAAAUCAUAUUUAAGAAUCUUGGUGAUAGUGGGUCACAACUGUGUAUGAGGUAGCAUGUCAGUGUUAAAUAACGCGAAAAGCACAUGGCUCGAUGGUAAAAAAGCAAACAGUAAAAAGAAAAAAUGAUAAAAUAAAAUUAUUCAAGACAAUAAUGCAAAUGAUAAAACAACAGUGAAAUAAAAUAACAAUGAAGUAAAAAGAUAUUUACCGAUAGUUGCGACUGUGGCUCACAUCUUCCUCUGGUUUUACGUCCAGAAACGGCUUGAACGCCCUCUAUGGGUCGAGGAUGGGCUUCCUAUCCAGUUUUCUUAUAAAUUGGCAAACAGGGUCGUUUAUAGUCAGAUUCUCGAGACUAUAUCGUGCAUGCUCUUUCUGGAAUAAUGGCGAUGUGUUUAAAGAGACAAAAGGAUAUCAUUCAAUGACUCCUUAUUCAAGCCAUCCCUAAUGAAUUGAAUCUUAUCUUCCCUGUUAUCAUACACCAUUCCUAAAUAACAUGGUUUUUUAUCGCAACUCAUUCUGGCACAUUUAUGACAAGCAACAAAAUUUUUUCGAGCUCUUCGUUUUCUUGCAUAAUUUCCUUUACCAAGACCAAGCUUUAUAGAUUGUAAGGAGGGCAUUUUGAGGAAGUGAAGGGAAUCGAUUGUGAAGCUUUGCUAGAAUCUCGUUUCUGUCCAUACCUUCGCCUCAGAAUAUCAGUUAUUAUGGGAAACUGAAGUAACUGACUUGAUUGUCACGGAGUACCGUUAUCCGCCACUUCACCGGGGUAACAAACUAAAGCACACAAACAAAGAAAAAAAAACUAAAACACAUAAAGAAAAUUACAAUCGUCCUCUGAUUGAAUUUACCUCAAGCUCCAACUGGAUGUUGUAGACACUUCUCUCAAUGUCUCUGAGUUGGCUUUCUAAAUCCUCAACAUAGGAUACUAACUCUGGCGGUUGUAGAGCCCAAUACGAUGUGUUUUAUAAAAUCGAAUCUGCCUUUUAAGAUGAGAUUUUACACGUUGAAGUGGUUUAAGAAUGUCCAGGAGGAACUGCUUAGUUAUGGCACUCAUGAUUAACAAUGAUAAGAGAAAACUUAAUGGUUAAACAAACACACUUAUGCAAAAAUAAUUUCAAUUAGCAAAAGAAUAAUAAAAAGAAAGAAAAAAAAUCAAAUCACCGAAAAAAAAGAAGAAAAAAAAACUCAAUUCAAAUCUGGUGGGUCACUCAAAUUUAUUUCGGUGUCCUCUCCAUGUGGUUGGUACUCUAGAUAUGGCUUUAGUCUUUGACCAUUAACUUUAAACGUGACACCGUUCUUAGGGUCCUUAAUUUCAAUUACCCCAUAUGGAAAAACAAUAUGAACAAUAAAGGGGCCAGACCAUCCUGCUGUACGGCCAAGGCGGAUGUACGGUACAGCAGAGUNNNNNNNNNNNNNNNNNNNNNNNNNNNNNNNNNNNNNNNNNNNNNNNNNNNNNNNNGAGUGAAAGAUUUUCUCAUAAUUUGCUUGUCAUGAAAGACUUUCAUUCACUGCUUGUAAAUUCUGGCAUUUUCGUAUGUAUCAUUGUGAAUUUCUUCAAGUUCUACCAGUUGUAAUCUUCUUUCUGAGCUAGCUUGCUGCAUGUCAAAGUCGAAUUUCUUGAUGGCCCAAUAUGCACGAUGCUCGAGUUCCACAAGUAGGUGGCAAGCUUUUCCAUACACUAGCCUGUAGGGUGACAUCCCAAUCGGGGUCUUGAAAGCUGUUCUAUAUGCCCAUAAUGCAUCAUCAAGUCUUAAUGACCAAUCUUUUCUGUCUGGCCUCACCGUUUUUUCUAAUAUGUGCUUUAUUUCUCGAUUGGAGAUCUCAACUUAGCCACUGGUUUGCGGAUGAUAUAGGGUCGCCACUUUAUGAGUGAUUGAAUACUUUGUCAAAAGAGCUUUGAAUGCUUUGUUACAAAAGUGGGCACCACCAUCACUGAUUAUCGCUCGAGGGAAUCCAAAGCGUGAAAAAAUAUUGCUUUUCAAAAAUCAUAUCACCACCUUGUGAUCAUUAGUUCUACAUGGAAUUGCUUAUACCCAUUUCGAUACGUAGUCAACAACAACCAAUAUGUAUUGAUGGCCAAAAGAAGGGGGAAAGGGUCCCAUGAAGUCGAUACCCCAUACAUCAAAAAUCUCAACCACUAAAAUUGGAUUUAAUGGCAUCAUGUUCCUUCGUGUAAUGCUCCCCAUUCGUUGACACCUAUCACAUGAAGAACAGAAAGUGUAAAUGUCUCGAAAUAUAAUUGGCCAAUAAAAACCACAUUGUAAAACUUUAGUCGCUGUUUUCUUAGCGUUGAAAUGGCCUCCAUAAGCUUGUUCAUGGCAGAAUGAAAGGAUAUUUUGAAUUUCACUUUCUGGGACACAUCGUCUAACAAUUUGAUCUGCACAAUACUUGAACAAAUAAGGGUCAUCCCAAAAGAAAUUCUUUAUUUCCGCAAAAAAUUUGGCUUUGUCUUGCUUGGUUUAAUGCUCUGGAAGUUGACCUGUAACAAGAUAAUUAACGAUAUUAGCAUACCACGGUAAUACUUUCACACUCAUCAAUUGUUCAUCUGGAAAUGACUCAUUCAAUGGUAAUGAUUCCAUAAUUGUGUCAGAAUGGAGGCGAGAGAGAUGGUCAGUCACAACAUUCUUUGUGCCUUUUUUAUCUUUAAAUUUCAAGUCGAACUCCUGCAAAAAUAACACCCAACGAAUUAGUCUAGCUUUUGCAUCCUUCUUUGUGAGAAGAUAUUUAAGAGCAGCAUGAUCUGUGAACACAAUUAUUUUACAACCAAUGAGAUAAGAUCGAAAUUUCUCUAAUGCAAAUACUACAGCUAACAUUUCUUUUUCAAUAGUUGAAUAGUUCAACUGUGCAUCAUUCAAUGUCAUACUAGCAUAAUAAAUAACAUGGAGAAUUCGAUAAACUCUUUGUCCUAAUACUGCUCCUACUGCAUAAUCAGAUGCAUCACACAUGAGCUCAAAUGGUAAGCUCUAGUUUGGGGGCUGAAUGAUGGGUGAUGAUGUCAACAACUUCUUUCGUUUUUCAAAUGCCACAAGACAUAAAUCAUCAAAGAUAAAAGAUACAUCCUUAGCAAGUAGAUUUCAUAAGGGUCUGGAAACUUUGCUAAAAUCUUUAAUGAAACGUCUAUAAAAACCAGCAUGCCCAAGGAAAUAUCUUAUUUCUCUGACUGUUUUGGGUAGAGAAAGAUUAGAAAUGAGAUCCACCUUGGCUUUGUCAACCUCAAUACCUUUACUCGAAAUGAUGUGACCAAGAACAAUACCUUGUUUUACCAUAAAAUGACAUUUUUCCCAAUUUAAGACCAAGUUCUUCUUGACACAUCUCUGCAGAACUAGUGUUAGAUGAUGUAAAUAUUGAUCAAACGAGUCACCAAAGAAAAAUGGUCUUGACAUGUGACAGAAUUCAACUUUCUAUAAUUAAUGCAUACACGCCAUCUUGUAGUCACUCUAGUGGGUAUCAAUUCAUUAUCGGCAUUCGUAACUACUGUGACUCCUGAUUUUUUAGGGACAACUUGUCCAGCACUGACCCAUGAACUAUCAGAAAUGAGAUAAAUGAUACCUGCAUCUAAUAGCUUAAGGACUUCAGUUCUAACAACUUCUUUCAUGUUAGGAUUUAACCGACGUUGCAUUUUCCUAGUAGGUUUAGCAUUUUCAUUAAGGUGAAUGUAAUGCAUGCAGUCUACUGGGUUUAUACCUUUUAUGUCUGCUAUGGUCCAUCCUAAUGCUCCUUUGUGCUCUUUUAAAACAUCCAACAACUUACUUUUUUGUUCGUUAUUGAGGGAUGAUGAGAUGAUUACCGCGGAGUGCUUUCUUAUCCCAAAAACGCAUAUUCCAGUGUGUUGGGUAAUGGUUUGAGCUCGAGUUUCGGUGGUGAUUAUGAUGAUGGGAUGAGUUUCUUCUCUGAUGGUGCUAGUUGUUCAACUCUUGACUUCCAUUUAUUAGUGUCCAUGGAUGGUGCUGAGUCAAGCAAGGCGUUAACCUCAUCAACUGAUAUGUCAAUAUCAAAAUCCAAACCAAAGUGAGUUAAGCAUGUUUGUAAAGGGUCAUCACUAAAGUUUGGAAGAAAAGUAUUAUCAACUAAUGUGUCUAUUAAAUCCACAUCAACAAUUCCAUCAUCUGUAUUGUGAGGUUGUUUGGCAAUGUUGAAGAUGUUUAGCUCCAUAGUCAUGUUGCCAAAGGACAACUGCAUAUUUCCAGUUCUGCAUUGAAUAUGAGCAUCGGCAGUUGCCAAGAAAGGUCGGCCUAGGAUAAUGGGGAUGUGCUUUCUUGAAUCCUGGAUUGGUUGAGUGUCAAUUACAAUCAAAUCAACGGGAAAAUAAAACUUGUCUACCUGGAUAAGUACGUCCUCCACAAUACCACGAGAUAUUUUCGUGAACCAUUCUGAAAGUUGUAACACCACUGGAGUUGGGUGUAAUUCUCCUAAUCCAAGUUUCACAAAUACUGAAUAAGGCAUUCUCAAUUGUGUGGUUCCCUAUGCUACAUGAGAUAGUGGGGGAACUUGGGUCUUUGCAUUUUAGAGGAAUUUUGUGUUGGAGUAUAGAACUAACAUUUUCUGUUAAAAAUGCCUUCUUUUGAAUGUGAAUGUUUCUCUUUUUAGUACAAAAGUCUUUAAGAAACUUGGUAUAAGAUGGCACUUGUUUUAUAGCAUCAAGCAAAGGGAUGUUAAUACUUACCUGUUUGAAGAUUUCAAGAAUCUCACCUGUGGAUUUUUCAUUCUUUCCUUUAGCUAACCUCUGAGGAAAUGGAGCUUUGGGAACAUAUUCUCGUGGGUUGGUUUCUUCUUUCUCCUCCGAUGGUGAGUUCUCAACAUUCAUAGGUACUAUUUGAUUUGUUUUCGUCACUGGCAUCUCUACUUUGUUGUCGACUUCUUUCCCUUUUCGCAAGGUCAUGACUGCUUUGACCUCUCCAUACUGCUGUGGUGAACUGAUACUUGCUUCAUGUACUCCUUUAGGAUUAGACACUGGUUGACUUGGAAAUUUACCUUUCUCAACAGUCAUUGCCAAGGUCUGAACUGAAGAAGCAAGUUGUCACGCCAUCUUCUCGAAGCUUGAAACUGAUUGGGCUUGUGAGUUAAAGCAUGUUCUCAACUCAUUUCGUAGUCCAUCAAUGGUGCGGUUCUGUUGCUCAAUCGUAGAGUGAGUAACAUUCUUGAAAUUCUGGAAUGCAUCCUCCCAUGGUAUGUGUUGAGAGUAGUUCUGAUUCUGAUUGUAUGGUCUAAAUGGUGGCUGAGAGGCUUGAGGAAUUUGAGGAAUUGGUUGCAUUGGUGGAGCUGGAGCUGUUGGUCCAUUCUGUUGGAAUCAUUGAGACCAUGAAAAAUUGGGGUGGUCUCUCCAUCCAGGGUUAUAUGUGUUGGAGUAUGGGUUGUAAUUUGAUGGUUUUCUCAUUACACCUAUGGCAUUGGCUUGAUCUGAGUAUGAGUCAUGGUCAUGUAGUUCUGUUGAUUUAGCAGUCGUUAACGAUGCUAUUUGUCGAGAGAGACCUUCAAUUAUCGCUUUGACUUCUUUAAUUUUUGAACUUGACUCACCAAUGUGAACCUCAUUUACUCCCUUAAUUCUUUUAGUGUUCCUGAGCGAUCGACUCCGUUGUUGGGAAUUAUCCGCUUGUCGCUGGAAGAAUUCCCAAAUCUCUGAUGCACUUUUUAACAUUAGCUCUCCUCCACUUAUUGCCAUUAGCCAUUCUUACACAUUCGGCAAUAAUCCCUCCAAAAAGUAUUGGCAUUGGUGCCAUUUCUCGUACCCAUGAUGUGGACACUUCAAGAGUAGCCCAUUGAAUCGCUCCCAUGUUUCGAAAAAUAGCUCGUCCUCUCUCUGGGUAAACUCCGAGAUUUCCCUGCGAAUAGCAUUGGUUUUAUGCACUGGGAAAUAUUUAUUCAAAAAUUUAGUUACCAUUUGUUCCCAUGAUGUAAUGUUAUUAGCAGGCAAUGUAUUGAGCCAUGAACGAGCUCUAUCCUUUAAAGAAAAUGCGAAUAAUCUGAGUUUAACAUCAUCGUCUGAAAAAUUCUCGUAUUUAAAAGUUUGACAAAUAGCAUGAAAAUCAUUCAGAUGAUUAUAUGGGUCCUCAUUUUCUAAGCCAUAGAAUGUUGGGAGACAAUUUAACACACUAGGUUUUAGUUCAAAACUCCUAACAGCUACAUUUGGGUAUCUUAUGCAUGAUGUACUCAAAUUUGCUAAGGGACUAAAGUAGUCCCUAAAUGGCCUCUCCUGUGGUGGUGCUUGUUGUUGCAAAUCCAUUUUAUUUUUUAACGUGUUUGUGUGUGCGCAGUGUUUUUUCUAAUUCAAGGUCUAUAGGCUCAAGAUUAGGUAAUAGUGACCUUCGACCAUGCAUGCAAAGAACACAAAAUAAAUGGGAACAAAACAAAUAAAGAUAAAGAAGAAGGAGAAAUUACGGUACUAACCUUUUUACGCUGUUAAAAUAUUUCUAUAAAAACACACUAGAAAAAAUUCGUGAAAUAAAUUAACUAAAAAUUAAAUUAAUAAGAUAAACAAAAAUUACAAAGAAAAAUAACUUAAAAAUAAAUUGCAGAAUUGUAAAGAAUAGAGAAAGAAAAUAAAUUAUUACCUCUAAAUGCAGAUUCACUUUUUUUUUCUUUUUUUAUUUUUUUAAUUAAAAAAAUACAAGAAAACAAAUAAAAGAAAUUAUUCACAAAAAUUAAUUCUACGAAUUAAAAUAACUUACCUCCCCGGCAACGGCGCCAAAAACUUAUGUGCAAAUUUUAUUGAACUCGCAAGUGCACGAAUCUAUUGUAAAAUAGAUUAAUGGUGACAAGUGUCGAUCCCACGAGGAGGUGAAUUUUAAUUAUAUGUAGAAUUAAUUUUGUAUAAGGGUGAUUGGAUUUGUAGUGGAAAUGAUUUGGAAUAUUCUAAAACUUAAAUUAAAAUGGCGAGAAUAAAUUGAAGAGAAAUCUAUUGAAAUGAAGCACUUGGGUAUCUGGAUCCGUAUCAACAUGUAUCAUGGGCUAAAUAUUCCUUAUUAGUGUCAAUUAAAUCAUGAGGGGGGUAUCCACACCUCAUGAACCACACUCUAAUCAAUAUGGUGUUAAGGGUUUAUCGUGCCAAAUAAUAAUAACUUUGUACUAGAGAGCCGGUGAAACUAAUGCGGUAUCUAGACAAGAUUAUUAUUAUUUGUCGACGAAAAGUCAAAUCAUCCACAAAAAUUAGAGGGAAAGAGAAAGUAAAUUUACCAAAUAAAGCUCAUGACACAUGUUGAGACUUCACCUUCAACCCAAGCUUGAAAGAAAAUUAGCCACUCAUAAUUGAACUAGGGGUAAAAUAUGAAUAUAUUAAAAUACGUAGAAAAUACAAGAUGGAGAAGGAAUUACAGAAAAUGAAGUCCAAAAAUGGAUUCAGAGAUACCAAAUUAGGGGGGAGAGCCCCCUUUUUAUAGAUACAUUGAGUAAAUCAUAGUCAUCGGAUCAAAAACAUUUCAAACGCUCAGGAUUGCGCCACGUCAUCAGUCAACAGUACAUGGUUUGACCACGUGGUUUGAACAGUAACAUGGUUUGACCACGCGGUUUGAACAGUAAUACAGUUUGAUUGAAAAUAAUCCUGUGUAAUGCAUGUACCGUACGCGAGAUUUUUAGUCCACUAAUAUGCUGCCACAUCAUCGAUCAACAGUGCAUAAGAAUUUUAGUCCAACAGGAUCGUGACACCUCAUCAGUCAAUGCCACAUCAUCGGUCAAUGCCACGUCAUCAUCCGUCUAUGUGAACAAGGUCUGGGUUGGGUCAUGACAUCUCUAGUUAAAUUAAUUAAUUAAGUUAAGUCAUUUUAAGUCAUUAAGUUAAAAAAUAAACGUCAUCAUAGUUUUUGUUGUUAUUAUUAUUAUUAUUAAUUGAGCAAGGCGAAAUUUUACUGAUCAUAUGACCGUAGUCACUCGUGUCGAAGUAAUAAUAAGGAUGAAAAUAUUUGGUGUUUAAAGGAUGUUGAUGUGAUUAGACAAAUCUACUACCAUCUCUAUUUUUACUAUGGUCGGCUUUGGUUUCUCUUUUGAGCUCAUUAGAUUGGUCCUUAGCGAUUUGGCAAAUUAGGAUUGAGGUUUAAUGGUAUUUAAGAUUGAAAGAAGAGCAAAGGGUUUAAUGUUUGGGCUUGGGCCGAUUCUUUGAGAGCUAUGGCCCAACGUGAAUAAUCUAAGAACUGUAACACUACAUAGGACACAUGUCAAGUCUCUCUCGUACCGUCAAACUAAGACCGAAACGUAAAUGUUAACGGCUAAGAAAAUAUGUACCUUGUAGCCAAUAUUAUGUCGUUACGAGAACCUUUGUGCAACAAUGCACUUUAUAUCUUAAGAUAUCGUUUUUAUUAUUAUAUUUUCUCACAAAUAUAUAUCUAUGUAUACUCCACAAGUCUAAAACCCUUGGGUAAGGAUGGCAAAAUGCAACUUUGGGUUGGGUUUUUUCAAAUCCAAGUUUAAGUCCCUUAGAGAGAAAGUAUAAAGGUUGGGCUUGGGCUGGGACCAUUGCAGGCUUAGGUUGAGCUUAGACUUUUACUUAUUUUUUUAAUUUUUUAAAUUAUUAUAAACAUAAAAUAAAUAAAUAGUCAACAAGUUGUUAUAAUCAACAAUGAAUUAAAGAAAAUAAAUAUUUCAAAAUAGCAUAAUAAAUAGAGAAAAUAAAGCAAAAAAAAGUUUAGAGAUUUAAUUUUUUAAUUGUGCAUUCUCUAAUUCAAACACUCUUUUAAUUAAUUAACACUUAAAAGAGAGUUUAAUGUUAUAAUUUUAGAUUUUUUUAAAUUCAUUAUUGAUAUACAUGAAUUAGGGCUUUAAACUUUUUUUUAUUCAAUUUUUUAUUAUUUUUAAAUUUGAAUUUAUUAUUCUAAUUUAUAAUUUUUUUUUUUAAAUAUAGAACUUGAGCUUGGCUUAAACCUUUUUCCCUUGAGCCAUCAUCCAAACCAUUUAUAUGGAGGCUUGGGCCAAAGCCCAUGGUAAUAAGCCAGGCUGGUCGAAGUUUUUUUACCGUCCCUAUCCUUAGGCUGCGUUUUAAAUAUAGCAUUAUAUGGUUUUAUAACAUUGCUCACAUUAAUUUAUUACUAAGAGUGUGCUUGAGAACUUUUGGGAGCUCAUUGUGGUGCAUUAUAAUGCACCACAAUGCGCCAUUUAGGCUCAUUUAACCCGAGGUUCCCUUGGUUUUAUUAUUAUACAAACCUAAGGUUCUCUUGAGUUUAGAUGUUUUGGAAGAGAUAUGAGUUUAGAAUAAAUCAAUUACAACAUAUAGGAAAUUUUUUUCAUUUCAUACUUAGUCUCUCGAAAAUAAUUAUUGGUGGUGAGAGAGUAUUCUUUGGAGAUAAAUUAUUGAAUUUGUUUUAAGGAAUAUUAGGGAAGUUAAAAGGACAUGUUAUGACAAAAAUAAAUAAAUACAUUUUGACCGUAUAACAUUAUAACUUCAUUAGAUUCUUCAAACCUAAGAAAACUAAGAUUAGGAUAGGAACUUACAAAUUUCUUAUGUUGUGGUGGCCAACUAAAAUUCUAAACCCUAAGUGUUAACUCCAAAAACUAUCAACAUGUCCUUUUCUUCUGUCGUCGGCCAAGUCAAUUUGUUUUAAUUCAAAAUUUUCUCUUAAUUCAAAAUUUUCUCUUAAUUUUUUUUCAAUCAUAAGAAAUCAGUAAAAAUUAUUUAUAUUCUAGAUUCUAGAAGGAAUAGAAUUGUAGCCUUUCCUAUUUAACACAAACAGAUCCACAACGUAGGAUUUACAAAAAAAAAUCUAAAGAUUUAGAGAAGACACAAAAGCUUAGCGGCUGCUAAUAGAUUUUUCACCAAGAGAAACAAUGGACUCUUCUGAAGUUAAAGUACCUGCGGAUAUCGUCUACGAAAUCUUUAUAAGAUUGCCCGUAAAAUCACUUAUGCGUUUCCGAUCAAUCUCCAAGAGCUGGCGUGACAUAAUUGACGGCAGCCUUCGUUUUGCUAACAUGCAUAUGUCCACACGACUGGCUGCUGCCGACGAACCUCAACUUCUACCGCUCUGCAAUUAUAUUGACGCUUUCGAUCGAAAACGCCGAGCGGCAUUAACAUUCGACGGUAAUAUUAUCAAGGAAAGUGACUGUCCAUCUCCAAUCUUGGAUUACUCAAAGAGAGACCAUUACUAUGUUUUUGUUGAAUUUGUUGCUUAUGGUUUAUUAUUGCUUCAAGAUUGUUGGGCUGGUAGGAACAAACUCUUUUUGUGCAAUCCUCUCAGAGGAGAAGUUUUAGAGCUGCCAAAGCCAUUACAAGAUUGUUCCAAGGACUUUCUCUUGCCGAGAAGUUUGACAAGUUACGGAAUUGGAUUUGAUAGUGCUACCAAUUCUUACAAGAUUGUUCGGUUGGGUAGAGAGCCGAGGAAUAAUCUUGAAAUUGAGGUAUACACUCUUGGCACACAUUCCUGGCGACACGCUUCUCCAUCAUCAAUCCGCCGCUCUAACAAUAAACUUCAACUGCAGUGUCUAUCUGAAUUUGGUUUGUCUGCAUAUGGAGACAUGCACUGGAAGAAUUGGGAAUUUGGAAGUGAUCAUGAAGCACGCAUUAUAUCUUUCGACUUCAAGAAUGAGCAACUUAAUGAGACUCCCCUACCAGAUUUCGGAUGCCAAGGUAAACAUUAUAGGAGGUUUCGGUUGAUUAAUCUCAGGGGAUUCUUGGCAGUUGUUAGUUUUCAAUCUGAUAGACACAUUGAAAUUUGGAUGUUGAAAGAUUAUUAUGAAAAGGUAAAAGAGACUUGGGUAAGAGAAUACAGAAUUAGUACUCAAGUUUGGGCGAGAGGAUCAGAUCCGGAUCACAAUGGCCUUUUCAGAGCUGCCAAUAUAAGUUUUUGGAGAGAACGUCAACAAUUUGAAAUUGGUGUUAGCAGUCGUGGGUUGCUUUUUGUUGAAGCGCUGGGUAGACAAGUAUUCGUUCUUGAUCUCCAAAGAAAUUGUUUGUGGCAUUUGGAUUGUCCACAAAGUUAUAAUUUUUUUAAGAAAAUAACUAUAAUAUUUAGUUAUACAGGCGGCGUUUUCUCUCUCAGACAAUUUGGCAAUCCAAUUGCAAAGAAACCUCAAAAGUACAACUUUCUAAAAACAGUCCAUAGGGUGUUUGUUUCUCCCUAGAUAGACAUCGGGGACGUAGGAUUUGCUUGUGUUUUUCAAUAUAGCAUCUCUUUUUUCCUUUGAAAGAAAUGUAAGUUGCAACAAAUAAUUUUUUUAAUGUUUAUAAAGCAAAUUCCAGGAUGGUAUGUAAGUUGCAAUAAAGAAUUUUCACCAGCCAUGUGAUGUAAGUUGCAAUUAUCUAUUUCCCUUUGCCCGCUGGAAAAAUGUAGUUUUGGGUAGCAUCUAUAUUGAUUGUGAAUUGUGAUGGCGCCUGAAGAGUGAUUACCGAUUAUUUUUUUUUCAAUCCUAGGCCUUUCAAAUUCUACUACCUUCUUGAAAAGUCACAGAUUAUAUAUAAUCCUAAUGACAGUUGGCGAGUCAAAUUCUUUCAUUUCCUAGUCUCCUAAAAUUUUUGUAAAUUAAGUUUCUAGGAGAUUAAAGACAGAUUUCAAUCGACUAUAACUAAUAGAUAGUUAACAGAUGUUACCUCUAAAAUCUAUUGCCAUUAUUAUCUUUCUUCUAUCGGCCAAGGCAAUUUACUUUAAAAGAAAAAAAUUAUGGCAGUGGCUAUAUUUGAAACCCAUAAUGAUAAUAAAGAACAAUGAUAAAUAUCCCAAAAUGUUUUGACUAAAUCAGCUAAAUUUUAAAUUUAUUGAAUGGCAUAGGUUAAUGUGAAUUACAGUGUAAACGCACACAUCAAGUAAUAAGACAUCAAGAACCUCAUAAUAAACAAUAUAGAUAUUUGUAAUAAAAUAAAAAUUUAACUCAUAUUAAAGAGUAAUUUUCAAAUAACUUUAUUUCACUUGCAUCCUAAGAAGGUAGGGAAUUAAAUAUUGAUUUGGGCUUUACUCCUUUGCCCACCCUUCUACAUCUAAAAGAAAAAGGUACAAAUGUACUCUCUUAAAAUUAAAGGUUUGGAAAGAAUAACUAUAAAUAGCAUGUCAAUUUUUUUAAAAUUGAGAGUGAUUUUAUGGACAUAUUUGAUAAAUAAGUAAAAAGUCUAUUAUUCAUAAAAAAUCAUUGCACUUGAGUAGUGUUCGCAAAAAAUCUUGGACCGGCCCAAGCCUGCAGCAAUAUGGACCAAGUUAGUGCGAACCAGGCCUAUAGGCUUUAACCCCAGCCCGCCAGACAAAGACAUAGAUAAGAUAGGGAUGGCAAUGAGGUAGAUAUGGGUUGGAUCUACUCUGUUCUAGAUCCAGAUCUAUAAUAAAAAUCAAGAUUCGUACCUGCUCCAGAUCCAUCAUGAAUCUAUAAUUUUCACUCCAUAUUCAGAUCCAAAAAAGAAAUAAAUAUUUAUAUCUACUCCAAAUCUGAAAAAAAAAAAUAAAAAUCCAAAUCUGCUCUAAAUCCGUCAUGAAUUCUAAAACUCAGCAAUAAAAAAUAAAUAAUUUUUUAGAAUGAAAAUUGAAGGCUAAAAUGUAUUGAUAACAAAAAAAUUAUAGAAUUUUUUUCAAAAAGAUAAUAAAUAUUAUAGUUUAUACUUUUACACCAAAACAAAAAAUAAGAAAGAUAAUAAAAUAUCAUUCAAAAGUAAUCAGAAGAGUAAGAUCAAUCUAAUAUUUUAUUAUCUCCUUCAUUAUUCUAAUAUUCACGACACACCCACCCCCAUUCCUACAACAUUAAAUAAUGACGUAUAAAUUAAAUAUGAUUUAUAUUAAGUGCUUUAUUAUUUUUAUUAUGACCAUAUUUAACUAAAUAUAUGAAUAGCUAUAUUCCUUAAAAAUUAAUUGGUCAAUACAGUAAAAUAAAUUGCCAGGUUGUAUUACUUAGCUUGCAAUUUGGAUAUUGCAUGUACAUGCUUUUGGGCUGGCUGGCCUUUAAAUUUACAAAACUAAACUUCAAGUUUUAAGAGUUUAAAUGCAUGGUAAAUACCACUAAUAUGCUAUGAAUAAGAUUUAUUUAUCAUUAUAAUUCCACAAUUGUUAAGAAACUUUUAAAAUAAGAUAAAAUUAAAAGAUGGGUGGAUUUAGAUAUUAAGAUAGAUCCAGACUUGCUCCAAAUCCGUCUUAGAUUCGCACAUCAAUAUCCAAAUCUGAUCCAAAUUCAUUUUAAACCGAUCCAAAUCCGAUCCGAUUAGAUUUAGAUCACGUAGAUCUUGGGUCAGAUCCAAUCCAUUGCCAUCCCUAGGAUAAGAGCUCAAAAAAUACAAAACCCAUAUAUAUUGAGCUUGGUUAAGGGCCUUACAGAAAAACUAUAUAAAAAAAAUUUAAAAAUAAAAAAGAAAACUAAAAAUAAAAAUAAAAAUUCAAAAUGCUAAAGUCACAUAGCUAAACCCUAUAUUCCCUAAUGCCUCACACAAUACCAUGAGUCACACCAGCCCACCCAAAACCAAGUGAAGCAAUAGCCAAAAGCUGCACCUUCAUCCUCACACCCACCCAACAAUUGUAGCCAACACCACCCAACACACGAGGCAGCCAUGCGAACCCAGCACCAAUAGCGCAAUGCAACUGUAGCCACUCGAACCCGCCUGACGCAACAGCAACAAACCCAGCGCCAACAGAACCUAAUAAAGUGGACAAUUAUUCUGUUUUUAAUCUUUCAUAUGUAAUAUGCAACAAAAACCUGCAGCUUAAAUGUUGUUGAAUUUGUAGAAUCUACCAAUUAAACACUUUUAAUUCAUUAACAGGUAAGAUGCACUUCUCACAAGUUAUUGUCGAUUUUUUAAGCUUUUUUAUUUAAUCUUGUAAUUUGGUGAAAUCCGAGUUGGAUUAAUUGUGAUUAUGAUCAUUUAUUUAUUUGUUUGUUUCAAAUAGGAUCUAGGGUUGAGGUUGUAGAAAUUGAUAGCUUGGAGAAGGGUUUAUUCUUUGAUAAUGGAAUAGAACGUGAAGAUGAUGAUGUUCUAUAUACGACGUCGUUUCAAAAGAAAGAAGACAAUUUUGCUCAGCAUCAAACGGCUUAGUGGGUGUUAUAUUCCUUGCUAAUGUAAUUGUGAUUAUGAUUAUUUUACUGGUAUGCAUUUAGUUUUUAAUAUGUUUUUUUUUUAGCUUUGUUACAAAAUUAAUUAAAAGUCCAAUCGUAGCCCAAGUCUGCCCAAGUCCAGCCCAAGCCCUACCUAUAUAAAUUUGGACAGACUUUCAGAAGGCUUGGGCCUAGUGACAAUAACAUCAGCUUAGGCCUGGCUUGAAAAAGCCCGACCCAAGCCUGCAAUUUGCUAACUCUACUAGGGGUGGGCAAAAAAAGUUGAUUAAUCAAAAACCGAACCGAACCGUUCGGUUCGGUUCGGUUUUUUUGCGAUUUUUUUAUAUCCAAAAAACCGAAAUAGUAAUACCGAAAAAAUAGUAAAAUCAAUCGGUUCGGUUUUCGGUUUAAAAAAAAAAACCGAAAAACCGAACCGACGAACCGAACACAAAUAAAAUCCGGAUUCCCAAAAGUCCAAAACCUAAAGUGAGUAAAGUGACUCUAAAUCUCUAAUUCAGCCGAACUCGUGACCUUCAGCCCCUGAACACGUCGCUGUUGCUGCCGCUGCUCGUCGCUGGCUCGCUGCUGCUGCCGCUGCUCAUCGCUGGCUCACUGCUCGUNNN